Molecule: long non-coding RNA, 65373 nt
Filed under: Phoenix dactylifera (date palm)
Lineage: Eukaryota; Viridiplantae; Streptophyta; Magnoliopsida; Arecales; Arecaceae
Description: long non-coding RNA (PDAC_LNC005422)
Source: RNAcentral
UUGAGUGAAGUUCUGGUUGUGACAAAUGGUAUUAAAACGAACUCGGCCUAUAGCCAAAAUGAACUAGAGAGCACUGCAACACGGAUUCAUGAAGACUGACCACGAACCGAUCGUAGUGCUUGUGAUAAAUUUGAAGAAAUUUGAACCCUUAACGUGAUGAUCUAUGCAGACGUAUAUUUAGGCCUACAUCGUUAUUCGCUAGGUAGAUAAUACUUUUCGGCUAGUCAAGGCCGGUGUGUUUUGAGAAAAGCUCCUCCGCUCAAUCUGCUAAGAAGUAGACCAACUGAAAUCCAAAUGCUCCCGUUGGAAACUAUAAAAGGAAAAAAAGGGAGAAUUUCGUUGGAUGUGACAACUUCUGGUUCUUCUUCCUUUCUGGUCACUGGUAACUGUUUUGUUAAUUCUUUCAUGGUUAACUUUUAUCAUGAACUAUAGCCAAAUCCAAACCAAAUCUAUCCAUCUAAAACAAGACCUCGAACAGACGGCUUGCUUGAGGUUUGCAGAUGCGCCUAUUACACACACAAAAAUGAGACUAAUUUCCCAUAGAGCUUACCUUAUAACAUACCAGUUCAUCUACAUAUAUAGGCCUUGUUAGGAUCUGAUCAAAAUAGAAAACAUCUCAUACUCCAGCAUCAUCUUAAACCAACGACCAAUGCAUUGAGGUUGCAACCCAACCCAUGCAGGCACGCACACACAAAAUACAAAAAAAAAGAAGAAAAAGAAAAAGAAAAUGGACGUUGAGGCUGCAAGCACCAGUAGCACAAUGGACUUGUUAACCAGCAGAAACACAAAUUAGAACAAAAAAAUGGAAUGCGUUAAUCAAAAAAAUGAGACAGAGAACACAAUCAUACCAAUAAAUAGGAAUUCGAUGCCAUGGAUAAGUCCACAAAGUUUCAUUUCCAUAAUCAGUAUAUUGAAGACAAUGUCAACAUUGACAAGAAAAAUUAGGCAUCUUUAUAUUACUAGAAUCCUAGAGGGUAUAACAUAUAUAAUUCGCAAUAACUUCAUGGAGUGUUCACCAUGUUUCUGUAAUUAAUACUUUACAACAUUAGCUAGCUACCCAAUUCAUUCUCACCAAACUUUAACCAGAUUCAAGAUCAGCUCCAGCUUCCUAAACUUCAUGCGUGGUAUCGAACAGAUACUGCUGCCGCGGAGACGGUCAGCCAGAGGAAGACAGUCCCGUGAUUCUUCCUCGGACCAAAGACCUAUCGUUUCCGGACCAUCUUCCAACCUCACCAUAUUUGUAGAAUUGGAUCAGGAACCACUGAAGACUGUAAGUAUAAAACUCAAAAGUAGCACUUCUUUCACAAACCAAGUGUGAUUCAGAAUUCAGACAACAGUUUUGUGAGCUUCUCCUCAUCAUCAAAUGCAAGCAACUCUUGUCCACCCACAAAACCAAAAUCAAACCAAACAGCUCCUAGCAAAAACCAUGACUUCUUUGGAUUCAUGCGCAUGCCUUAGAAACAGGACCAAAAUCAUUACCCACAGUAAGAAAGCAGCAGAAGCAGCAGCAGAGAUAGCAUGAGUCUCAUAAGCAGCACUGCAUCACCACCCAUCGUACUUCAUACAACUAAAGAAUCCCUGAGCAAUAAAAGUCAAGCUUCUUAUAUAUAUAGAUCGAUGCAUUUGUGGUAAGGCAUGAAGAGCUUUGUAUUUACUAACAGUUAGAACUGACAAAGUUUUUUAUCUCCUCCAUUGCUUCGUGGAAAUGGUCUGUGUUAGGCAAGAAGUAGAACCCAACAGUGGCCUGAUCGCGAUAGACAAGCUUCACAUCAUGGCCAGCCUUCUUGAGCCCUUCAGCAUAAGCCAGCUGCCAAUCCUGGGUAAGAUCCAGCCCUCCCACUAUCACAAGGCUUUUUGUGAAUGGAAGCUCUUCGAGCUUCAUUCCAUUGGGACCAAAUGGGUUGCAAGCAGCGUGGUCUCUAUCCGCCCCCUCAGGGAGGAAUGCUUUCCAAUACCAGUCCCUGUCCUGAACCGUGACAAAGUACUUCCCAUCCAAUCUCUUCUCCGUCUCGGUUCGCCGGUUUCCACCAAACAUGGGGUUAAGGAGAAUGUUUCCACAGACAUCAAUUCCUGACUCAGCAGCCCUCGCAGCAACAUGGUGCGCGAUGUUCCCACCAGAGCUAUCCCCCGAGAGGAAAACCCGGAGCUUGGCAUCCUUACCGCUGUGGAGCCAAGGCUUGGUGGAGGCCCAUUUGAGGGCAGUCCAUCCAUCAUCAUAGGCACAGGGGUACCGGUGCUCCGGUGAUCGGCGGUAGUUUACAGAUAUGACAACUGCAUUGCAGAGUGAGACAAAGCGGCGGCAGAGUGAAUCAUAGAUGGCAGUAUCGAAGGAUGAAUGGGCGAAGCUGCCGCCAUGGAAGAAGAUCAUCACAGGGAAAGGGUCGGGGGAUGGCGGGGAUUGGAGGUCAGCAUAAAGGGAUGGUCUGGGGGAGUCAGAGGGGGCAGCUCGGUAGAUACGGACAAGAAGGUUGGUUGGGGGAUCGAUAAGGAGAUCGAAGGAGAGUACACCAUUGGCAGGGAAGACAUUGGCAGGGACCCUGCGGUCGAGGAAUUCAGCAAGGUGGCGGUUGAAGGUGCCAUCGGGGCGGCGGAGCAUGUUGUAGGCCAGCUUGAAGUUGGAUAUGAGGACCCAUGUGUUGAGGGGAACCGCCAUCUGUAAGCACAAAGAGUGAAAACCCCAAAACAAGAAAGAGAUUAGGAGGCCUUGGGGUUACUUCUUAAUUCUUCUAUCUAUAAAGGAAUUGAAGGAGAAUAUCGUAUGGAAUCAAAAUUCAAACUUUUAUCUCUACUACUUUGGAAUUUAAGAAAGACAUAAAGACAACAUCGAGUUUGAAAGGGUUUUCUGUCUUUGUUUCUGUUUUUUGUCUUCUUUUUUCCUUCUAUGGAGGGAACGGGAAAGAAUGUAGAUAAAGAUUUAAAUUUUCUCGGUUAGGUGACAAUCCAUGAGAAAUUGCGGGCUUCCUUUUCAUUGUAUGAUUAGAUGCUUGACAAUUAAGAAAACAAUCAAAAAAAAGAAGAAGCAGAAACCCUAGACGGCAAAACAAUACAAACCUCGAUUAUUAUGAGAUUAAUUGGGUUACAAGGAUUCACAAUAAACACCGUAAAUCAUAGCAAAUCUGAAAACCAGAAGAUCUGAAGUUUCGCUAAGAAGCAUCCCACAAAAUCCAAAAACACAAAAAGAUCGAAUUUUUAGCUUCAAUUUCGCAACAAGAAAGGGAAUAAGUUCAGGGAGAGAGAGUCCAUACCUUGGAUUCGUUAGCGUUAACCUCGUUGCUUCCAGCCAUGGCGAAAUAAUACUCAAAUAGAGCUAGAAGAGGAGGAAUAAAGCGGAGAAGAGCCGCAAAAAUCAAAGAAAGCUGUCUCCUUUCUCAUGACAUGGGCUCUAGAGAUAGAAAUCCCAGCACAUCUCUCUCUAUCUCAGCUGAAAUCCUCUUCUUCAUCUAAUCCCCUUCGCUUCCUUCGAUCUCCAGGACAAAUCUCGCGCAAAGGAGUGGCUUUUAAGGAUCUUAGCACGGAGGGAAAGAGAGAGGAACUCAGGGGAAGCGAGCGAGAAAGAGAGAUAAAAGACGAUGGCAGGGAGACAUGGAAGAGGGGCAUAGAAGUAGGAUAAGAAGAAGAAGAGGAAGAAGGGGGAGAGGAGCACGCGAGGCAAGAGGCCACGGGGAGGAGGAGAGGAGUCAAAUGCAAACCGACAGAGAAAUUGGGUAGAGAGAGAGAGAAGGAACGGGGGGGAGACGAAGGAGACGACAAAACGGGCGGCACAAAGAUAACCCGGGGGUGGGAUCCACCCACCCUUCUUCUCCCCGUGGUUUAGUGUCUCAAUCAAUCUCUCUUUAAUUUUGUGGUUUAUGCACGCAGACACUGAAAACUUAUCUAUUUACAUGUAGAUGCCUAUAAUCUUCAAGAUUUCAAUCAUAAAAAUAAUUUAUCCCUGCCUAGAUUCUAUAAUAAUAGAAGCCUCUUUUCAACUUGUGAAGUAGUAUAAACUGUAAAAAUGAGCAUGGAGCUCUUCUAUGAAAUAGUAUAUAUUAUAGGUUAAUUACUAAAGAAAGAUGAAAAUAGUUUAUUUUUUUUUCUCAUGAAUAACAUUACUUGAGCGGGUUUGUUUAUUGCCUUCUUGUUUAUUGUCUAAUACUUUCUUUACGUAUCUUCCUCUUGUUUAAUAGUAAACACGACUACAUGCUUUCUUGGUCCACGUCCUUAUUAUAUGGCAAAAUGGAGUGCAAGUUGUUAAAGUUUAAGAUGACUUUACAUUGAACAAAUAUUAAGAAUUAUAUCUUUAGUAUAUGUUUUUAAUUAUAAGGAUAAAUUUGGAUCAACGCAAGUGGUUAUUUGAACUAUUAUUAUGAUAUAACAAAAAUAACAUGUUAUGGACAAAUAUAUUGAAAUUAACGGAUUUAUAUGCAAGUUUUUUAUUCUUUGGUUUAAGAAUAAGAGAAAGUUAAACACUUCGAUGUAAAUCCCAUGAAAAGCUUAUCUAAUAGCUAUGUAACUUGCUUAUCUUUUGAUGCUUACAUACAAGACCUAAAAUGCUUCUCUACUAUUAGAAACUCCCAUUUAGAAGAUUUCAUGAAAGAAAAUGGUAUCAAUAUUCUUCUUUAAUAGCUAUGUCUUUUUACAAAUGAUAGGAUUUGCUUGUUGCCAGCUCUAUAUAGGUAUUGAUAAUUCCUAUGUUAAAUUGAAUAAGAGGUAUUUUGAUCAUAUAUAUGUCUCAGCAAUUAACUUUAUUUAAUAUAAUUUGACUAUGAUUUGUGGUAUAAGACUUGAAGCAAAUGGUCGAAUUUAUAUAUGUUCUUUGACUUUAAUGUGGCUGCAAUCUACCAAGUGGAUCACAUUUUAAGGAAAAAAAGCUAGAAUUUAUAUUAUCCACUCUCAUAUGUUGAAGUUUCUAAUCUCAAAUGUUAUUUGUUCAUGGAAUCAAAAGCAUCCAUUCAAUCAUAUUUUGGUUUCUAGUGUUACUUACAUGAAUCACAUGAGCCCAAAGCUACCUUCUUGGAUUAUGAGAAUAUAAAAGAUUUUGUUAUAAUACUGAAUUUUAUGUUGAUUUAUAUACAAAAAUUAUAGUAAUAUUUGGAAAAUGUAUAAAAGACAAGAAGCUUAAGAACAUGGAGGAAGUAUAAGUCUCCAAUUGAUACACUAUUCUUUCAUGUCAAAAUAUUUAACUUCAAAUAUUAUUUCAUUACAAAAUCAUAAAUAUAUAUUUAGUAAUACUUCUCCUUUGUAGUGUAAGUUAUCACAUGAGGGUGCUAAUUGGUUUGAUUGGUAAAGUUAUUGGAUGCUAAAUAUUAGCAACCUAGAUUCAAAUUUUGUUCGUAUUCUUUCUUUGACUGAAUUUCCUCUCAUUUUAAUUCUAAAACGUGAAAAAGAAAUGAACAAAUGGAUCAUGUAUGCUAAAUGCUAAGAUCUAAGAAUUAGGGAUGUUGUGGAAUAGGCGUAUUUCACAAAAUAUGUAUAUUUUGGCAUUUGAUUGAAGGAAUAAGUACUGAAAAUAAAUACGGAGAAUAAGGUAGAUUUAAUAUGCAUCGAACUUCACACUUUUUGAGUAUUUAUAGAGUAGAUUAGGAUAAAAAGGUAAGUGAAGGAAAUAGGAGCAAAAUUAACCUAUUCCGCCAAUAAAUCUAUUACACCAAUUUAAUCGGAUAGACUUAUACCGUAUAGGCCUACUUAUACCCCAAUACAAUACAAAGUUCUAUUCCAUCGGUUUGGUAUUUGGUGCCGGGAUAUCCUUCAAUCCCUAACUAAACACAACAAAGAUAUGGUUCAUGCAGUACCAAAAUUGACAGGGAGCUACAUGCAAGGCUUUGAAAAAUUGGGGAGGAAAGGAGCAGAAGUGAGGAGGAGACGAAGCCACGAAGGUUUCCUGCGUGAAGGCGACGCGGGCGCCCAACGCGACAAAAGAAAGGCGCCUCUUUGUUUGACAAAGGGGACGUUUCCAUGCCUUUUUUUUUCUCUUGCCAACGAAUAAAAUUAUAUGCUGAACUAAAAUGCUCUCCUUAUCAUCUUUGGCUUUGUCUCUUAGUGGGGGGAAUGCUUCUCCUCUUUGGCAACGUGACUGCCUUCAAUUCCACUCACACUAACCUAUGGUCUCCAUACAUCCACCCCUUCACCCUUCUCUCUCAUCUCCAUUAAUUAUGGGAUGGAUCAAAAGCACUACGGCAAGUGAAGCAAUUAUUAUAUCAAUGAGUGGGCCUCCCCAUAUGGUGAGUUUUAAUUGGUUGUAUUAUGGAGUGGAUGUGCUCAAUGUCUACAAACUUUGUGUUAUAACCAAUGUCAACAAUAUGGUUAUGGCUGUGGGUAAGUUAUGUAUCUUCAUGACAACACUUGGUGACUUGCAGGUGGCAAUGACUAUAGGUAGUUUAUAAACCUGUAAAAUGGUAUAGGAUUGGUGUUACUUUCUUUAUUUUACCCUUUUCAUAUCGAAAAAUUGGCUCCUGAAUUUAAUCAUUAUUGCCUACAGUGUGUAUAUAUCUAAUUGAAUCUGGCUUAUUAUAGCAUCGAUGCAUCGAUCAAAAUUCUUUUGAAUUUGAUAUUUUUGAUGUUAUGCAUCAACUAACUCGGUGCUUAUUAUAGCAUUGAUGCAUCAAUCAAAACAAAUCAGUAAGUUCGAGCAAUCAAAUCAGGUCUGAAAUUAUUAAAAAAAAAAUCCAAGUAAGGCCUAGACCCUAAAGAACCUCAUUGUAUAGAAUGGUAGGUAGCACACAAUAAAGUAACCUUCGAGUUUCUGGCAAAAGUGUCAAAUAAUCCCCUUGUGUAGAAGCAUUCGUUUGUUAGUCAUAUAGGUUGGGCCAAACCUAUCAUGCAGCCACCAUAAUGAGAAUUUAUUAAUUAUCCUGAUAUGAUAGACAUAAGAAAGAUUAGUUAGCUAUAAGACAAUGUAUGAUUUUAUCUGGCUGUUGUAAUUGAAGUGGGUCAUAAGAGUAUGAUUUAUGAUGAUCAGAUCAGUGAGGUUUUACUGAAGUAGAAAAUUUCUACAUGGAAAAUUCAUGAAUCAUCAAUGAUCCAGGUUAUAUGAGUUAUAAUACAUAGGAUGUAUGCCCUCUCUUUUUUUUCUUUUUUGUGAAGCAGAUGGACUUACAACUCAUAUAUAGCGAGUGUAAUACAUCUAGUAAAGCCAAAAUACAUGCUAUCUUAAAGCACUAAAAAUAGUAAAAUAAUGAUGAGCCAUAUGUAGUGCUACCCAAUCAACUGUUCUAUUUUUCUCUCCGAAUAUAUGAGAUGCCUGAAAGCGAGACAGCUGCCAAGACAUACAUCAAAUAUCAAGGAGCAAUGACUGGAUGCACCACUAUUGCUACAUGAUAGUUUGACAUCUAAUAGAGCCAUGCUUGGUUUCCUUUUGUUAUAAAGAUUAACCAAAUAUCACAUUCAACUUGGAAGUAAAGUCUUCAUUAAACCUUUGUAGUUUCAACUCUCUUUGACAUGAAAUGGUGCCAUAUCAUGUCAAUCCCCUUGCAAUAGAGAUAUGAGUGUCGAAAAUUUCUAAGAGCCUAAAGAGUGUAUAGUUUGUUCGACCCAAUUUUAGAUUUGAUAUAAAUCUCAUAAAGGUAUGUGAGGUGGUGCAUCAAAGCUAAAUCAAAUGCACAAUAUUGGAGAGACACGGUUCUAACAAAAAUACAUCAAAUUGCUGUCUUAGAUGCACAUUUUCGUUUCCCCUUGAAUAUCUCUCUCCGCACCAUUAUUCGAAUCACAUUCUCUUUCUUCAAUCACUAAUGACAUUUGGAAGCAUGUACUUUUGUUAAACUGUGGUUCCAAGUUUCAAACAAUUAAGACUUUGUGGAGUCUUCCUUUUCUCUAGAUAGAUAAAAGAGUAGAAAAUAAUUGUUGAUCAAGUGGACAGAUCACAAUCUUACCAUGCCUCUUGCAUGCACUGCAUGCAUCUGUAUCCAAUGCAGUGUUAAGUAAAGCAAGAGAUAAAAAGAAAGUGUAUUCAAAAGUUAAAGAGUUUCUUUAUUAGUUCUAACAACAUUGCACAUUAAGGUUCUAGAAAUAUCACUAGUUAUCUAAUUUGAGAUAGAAAAUUGGAGCAUUUUCAAAGUAAGUUUUUUUUUUGAUAUAUUGAUCAGUAUAAAGCAACCUAAAAAAUAAGAAAUAUCUAGUUUCGACACGAGCAAAAAUGGUGUAUUUCCAUCCAAAAUAGUAAUAGAAAAAAAAAUCUUGAGAUAUAGAGGGUAUCUUUUUUUUAUUAUUUUUUGAAGCGAAUGAUGCAUACAGUUUUGAUAUGAAUACAUUCAAUAAAAUCAGAAAGCAACAAAUUUCAGAAUGCUCUACGCAGCUCUCUUUCUCCAACUCAUAGAGUAUCUCCGAAAUGACUAGCGGCUUAACAUAGAGUAUCUUGUGAGAAACUAGGCUUGUAUAAAUACUUUUUACCGGGCCAUCCUCACCAUUUAUUUAGUGCAGUCCAUGUUCCACACUGUUUAUAUUGAUCUCAUAUUUAUCCAGAUGAAACAUAAGUAACCAUGGGGACCAAUAUUGGAUUAGUCAACGAAUCAGACAAUCUCAAUGCGUGGAAGCACCCACUGAAUGGACGGCAGACGAGGUCUCCAAUAGUAGUUCUGAAUGGACAGCAGAAGAGGCCUCUAAUGGCAGGUGGUGGGUGGUGAUACUGUAGAAGACGAAAGGGUGAAGACAAGCGCAGCACGUCGUAUCUAUUCCAAGAUAUACUCCCUUCCAAACCACCAAACCGUGGGCGAUGCUACCGAAAGAGGUCGAUUUCUUGGGAAGGGAGCGAGGGAGAUUCUCGCAGUCACCACUCGAAACGUGUCAUCAUACCACUCUUCUCUGGUUCUCCCCCUUUCAACAAGCUGACCCCAUGUCAUGUGACAACUUAAACUAAUGAUGAUUGAACUGGUAAGCCAUGGGUUGGUUUGCUAUCAUUUCCACCUGCAUCAUUGUCCAACGGACUUGUUCAAAGUUUAAAAUAACAAAAAAAAUAAGUCCAGUUCAAGCCACAUUUUAAGACUAAGAUCAUGCGAGUUGGAGGGCUAUAUAUAUGAGGUUAUAUAUAUAUUUAAUUUUAUAUCCAUUAUGUACCAGAUAGAUUUUGGAAGUUUAUAUAAGACUAAUAAAUUUAAAUAACAUAUUUUGACUAAGAUUAUAAAGUUUGGAUCACCAUAGAGGGCUAUAUACUUUAAUCCUAUAUCUACUAUGUACUAUAUAUAGUUUUUGGAUAUUUAUAUAAGGCCAAGAAAUUCAAAUAACACAUUCCGACUAAUUUUUUUGGAUGAAAUUCUUCUUACAAAUAGUAUCAGAGUCAGAUUCGGUCCAUAACUUAUGUGGACAAGUAGAUAUUGCAGCACUGGUGCAUGAAAACUGAUCACAAGAUGAUCAUCGUGCUUGUGAUUAGAUUUGAAUGGAUUUAAACUCUUAGCCGGAUAAGAACGCUAGAGGUUAAAUUGGGGAAGUAUGUGAGAAUUCCGUGCAUGCGUGUGUUUAGUUCUACAUCGGCUACUUAUUGAAUAGAUCUUGGAUAUUUAUACAGAGCCAAAAAUUUCAAAUAAAAUCUUUUAGCUAGUCUUUUUGCGUGAGAUUCUGGAUUGUUACGGUAUACAAUUCUAAAUAGUCAUCAUAUCAUUCGUUCAUGAAGAUAGAUAAGUGACAAACAUGGUCUAGUAUAAAGCACGCAAAACAUACUGUUUAUAGCAUGCCAUGCUAUAUUCUGUUUGAUAGCCAUCUGUCUUCAUAAUAGAAUAAUAUGACAGCUGUUUGGUACUGUACAACUCUUUGCAGUGCAAAACUCAUGCUACAGAGGAUCGAAACUCAAGACCUUUCGAGAAUCAGCUCGUUUAUUUGACGACAUGGCUCGAGUUCAUUGCGGUCGAGCACCGAUUUCUUUUGAUUGCGAACCAAUCCAAAGCUAGUGUAAACGCUUGUUUGCAGCCCUCAUGAGCUGGGAGAGCGACUGAGGAACGAACUGGCUUUAACUAACUCAAAUGGACUGUUUGUCCAACUCCUCACGGGUGCAUGCAUCAUUUCAUUAAAGAAAAGUUUGUAGUGAAAUCCUUCCAACGUUAUUCUGUCUCAUUGGCUGACCCUUUCCAAUUUCCAAUCACUUUCCGGCAGCGUAAGCCAACCUGCAGAGACACACUUUAUAGCAUGUGGACCAGAAUUUCUCUGAAACCGGGCGAGACCGGUCAAUUCAAUCAGGUCGGACCCGAACUUUUGGCCUGUUGGUCAUGUCAAGUGACGGCCCUGCAACAACUUGCCAUUGAGCCAAAAUGGCCGCCUUAUGACGAGGAUGGUCUUGCUGUCAUAUUGGACAAGUUGAAUGAAGCCGUAGCAUAUGGAAUUUCGAAUAAGAACACUAGAUCUUGGUCUUCGAACAAGUGAUCUUGUCGGCGAGAAUAUUUAAAGCGUGUUUGGUCGAAGGAAUUGGAUUUUGGAAUAAAAACAAAAAUAAAUGACUUCCGUUCCAACGUUUGAUUGGAAAGAUUUCGAUUUUCAGACAAUGAAAAUAUCUUAAUUCUUUAAAAUUUAACCUAUGGUGCUUUUUGAUAUUUAUAUUUUAUUUUGAUUCUAAUUUAACCUAUGCUACAUGAUGCAAGAUCUCUUUAAAUCCAAGUUCUCAUAUCAUUCUUUGUCAUUAUAUAUAUUGGUACAAAGGAGCCGCCUGAACCUAAAAACGAAGAAAAUGCACUCCAUAAGCAUCGGUUCUGAGUGUGUUAAUGCUGCCUAACGAGAAAUUCCCUUCUUGUGGUUUAGUCACCGGCCAAUCCGCAGCCUAAUUGCCUUCUUUAUAAGAAUGGGUUUCUUUGACGACCCAAAUGGAUGAUCUCAUCUAGAGAAUAUCCUUGAAAAGUAGAUUAGCAUUAACUCUACGAACACAAGGAUCAUUAAUCCAAGAUAUAACUAUUAGUGAGUCCACUUCUAUUCAGACAUGGUUACAAAUAUGGUAUGCCAUACCGGGUCAAACCAGACGGUAUGGAAUGUACUGUACUAUUCCGAUUUGGUAUCGGUAUUCAGUACGAAUGGCGUACCGACAUUCGGUAUACCAAAUAAAUCUAUAUCGUACCGUACUGAUACUAUACUAGUGUGGCAUCGCUAUGGGAUUCGGUACCGAGAUGACGAACUUUAGUUACAAGCAAGUGUUUCCCUAUUGACAAGCUGGUCAAUCACUCAAACAGUAGCUUUUACCAAAAGAGAUUAGUUACGGGCAAAAUCUCGAGUGUAUGCUGUUCCAUGCUGGAAGAGGAAAUCAGAAUGAAUCACAUUUAAGGUAGCCUUGAAGAAAGCUUUUGAUAGGUUAAGUUUGGACUAUCUGCUAGCAGUAUUGAAGGCAGGGUUCCCACAGUUAUGGAUCAAUCGGAUCAAAAACAUUCUAUUCACAGGUAAAGUUGCAAUCAAUACACAGAGCAAUUGGAAAUUGGAUUCAUUGUAAUUGAUAUAUUCAUCAGGGAGAACCCGGCUCCCUUCCUUUCCAUCUUGGGAGUGGAACCACACUGUAUUUUAAAUAAAGCAAGCAAUGCUAACUUGAUUGAAGGUCUUGGUAAUGUUUGGAUUCAAGGAGGUAUUAAGCUGUUACAAUAUGCUGAUGACACUUUAAUUUUCUCCUGAUGCGAUUCGAGUUGGUCUCUGAACUGUCUAUCAACUUUCAAAUAUAUUGACCUCUCAAAUACCUUGAAUAAACAUUAAUGGGAGAAAAAAGACUAUAGGCAGCUUCAUGCUCCAGCUAUUUGAGCUGUAAACUAUAAGAGCUGCCUCUCAAAUACCUCAAUUUUCCACUCUUUUUAAGCCAACAGAGCAAAAUGAAUGGCUUCCUCUGAUUUCAAGAGUAAAGAGGAGACUAGGAAGAGAGUUAGCUUCAAGUUGGGUAAUGGCAGGAAGAUCGAUUUCUAGGAAAAAAAAAAUUGGCAAGAUAAUUCACCCCUUUGUCAUACUUCUCCAACCUAUAUCCAUACUACAAGAAAAAAAUGCGUAAUAAUAGCAUCGCAAUGGAGUAAAGGACAUUCAUAUUCGUAGAUUAAGGCAACAAGACCUCAAAGUUGGAAGUGUUAUAAUGACAUGGGGAAGUUGCUUGAGAGGCUAUCCAGUAUCGGGAUAAUCUCUGGGGCAAGCAACUUAGUGUUUCUCAACUAUCUCAUUUUAUAAAUUUCCAUGGAAGCUGUCAAUCCUGCAAAAGAUCAAAAUAUUUCUCUGGUUAUGUCAUGAAAAUUGUGUAAACAUAAGGGAAAAUUUGAAAAGGAAGACUAGGAAAGACUUCAGAGGAUGUUCUAUGUUUGGAGAUUUCACUGAAUCUAUGGAUCAUUUAUUUCUUAGCUGUCGUUUGAUCAAAUUUAUAUGUCUCGAAAAUUAUUUCUUAGCUGACAUUUGGUUUUCCCCUUGCAAUUUGGUAGCUAGAUUGGGUAGAUAGGCUCGAGCAGAUUCUAUACUCUUGGUCAUGUUUCUCAACAUGAAUAAAACCUUUUGGUUGGAUUAAUUUUGAAACUAAGUUCAUGUGCUAGCCAACAUGCUCAAAACUCAUAUGAUUCUAGUAAUAUUAUGGUAGCACUAGUAUAACUACCAUGCAAAUAUGCUACUACUUUUUAUCUUAAUAAUUAUUUUAUUCUUUAAGUGAGAUAACUAUAUAAGAAUGAACUAUAUGAUGAAAAAACGUGGUAUUACUUGUUGACAUCCAACUUAUAAAUAUAAAAGUUUAAUGCCAAAUGUAAAAAAUUGGUAUACUAUCACCUAGUUCUGUGAAGUCUAAUUAUUUUUAGAUGGCAAGCGCAGAGGAGGGAUGGGAGAGGAGAAUUUGUUGAUUUCCCAGAAGGUAUUAAACAUACUGAGCAAACUGAUGGGGGUGGUCAUGCCCAGUUUGUAGGGACUUGGGGUAUUGAGAAUGUCUUAGGUAUUGAUACCACAUUGAUCUAAUCUGAGACGCUUGGCAUGAGCCAUGUUGGAUCAAAUUCUCAAUCCUUGGUUGGAUGUCAAAUCUAUUGGCAUGUAGCCUCUUGGCAUUAAACAAUUAGAUUUUGAUGAUAUGGGAAGGUUAUAAUUCUAUAGAUAAAGGGUUUCAACUGGUUCAACUGGAAAAAUUGCUCACUAUUAUCAUCAAUGACAUGAAAAAAUGAUACCCUACACCAUGUGCAUCACAUCAACGAUGCGCCACGCCAACCAAAAUUUUCAUUUCUAUAUGCACCAUUCAUUAUACAGCGCAUCUAGAAUUAUUGCACUCUCCCAUCUUAUCUUAGAUUGUUCCUGUGGUGCACCAUUGAUGUGGUGCACCUGGUGUAGGGUAUAAUUUCUCAAUGACUUGUAUUUGUAUCUUGCCUAUGUUCUCGCCAAAUUCUUAUCUCAAUAAUUUGGAUGAGGCCUCAAAACCCUACCCACCAAAACAGUAAUAGAUAUAUGAUUUUUAAGAAUAUAUAUAUACACACAGACACACAUAUUUGGAUGAAUACAUAAGUCAAUAAGCAUAUUCUAAAGUUUAUAUAAAUAUAUAUAUUUGUUUGUUUGUUUGUUUGUUUGUUGAAGGAAUAAUGAAAGAUGGUAACAAGGAGAGAGAGGAAAAAAAAUAAAGGGGAAGACAAAAUCCAAUGUGUGAGAAAGGUGGCAGUAUUGUGCCUGGGUCCCAGAACUUGGCCUUUCCUAACUCGGAUUCCUAGUUUUUGCUCACAAAUUCGAGGAUAAAAGUAAUGGGGUGACAUUCUGGACUACAUCGGUUGUGUCUUCGGUCGAGAGGAUCAAAGAUGGAUCGAAGAAUAGCAAUGCAAGUACAGCCAGAAAAAAGAAAACAUUUUUUUCUCUUUGUACACGAGUUACCUUUGGUUCAGGAGUGAGAAAAGAUAGAACAAGAAUAGCUUCAUUUGGAAUAGUUAUUCAACAAAUCAUAUUUUGUUUGAUUAAAAUUUCUGGAACAACUCUAGGCUGAAUGAGCCUUUGCCCACAGAUAGAUAAAGUCGGGAAUAAAUGAAACCUUGUUCUGGAAAUAAAUUUGUUGCAACUUUCUUGAUAUAGUUAUGGUAGGAAUAAAUAGAUUUGACCUGAAUAAAAACUAUUCUUUCUUUGUUCUUUCUUUUUCAAACUUGUUUUGGUUGGAACUAGUCUUUUUCACUUCUCUUUUUUUUUUCACUGAUAGAUAAAGUGAAAUGCAACCAUCUGGGAUUCAGUGAAAGAGUCUUACGGGCUAUUGGCAGUAUAAGCUUACAGGAGCCUUUGAAAAUGGUUCUUAUCUAGUGUUGGGCUGUCCAAUUAUUAAAAGGAUACAGGCUCACUUGAAAACAAAAUUCAAGGUAAAAGUUUCUCCAGGAUCUUUGAUUUCUUGCUAAAAUAUAGCUAUAAGGUGGCCAGAAUUAAGAAAUAAUUCAGAGAACGCUGGAAUUUUCUGAUUAAGUCCAUUUGGUGGAGAAUCAGGUUGGAAAGAGAGUAAGGUUCUUCAAGGCCUCAUCAACUUUGUAGUAUAUUGUUAGAGAAAUCAACAAGUAGGCUUCAAUAUCGUCUUCUUAAGGCACAUGGAUGAUGUAGAUUCAAAGCUGCCCUCAUUCAUUUCAACUUCCCAAUGAAAUGGAAUCAUAGAGAAACCUACUUUCUUUCUUUUUUUUUGGUACAUAAAACUACUUUCUUAUUUAAAUAAAAAGAAAAACCGAACCAAACGAAACUAUGGUGAAUAUCCAAUAAACAAUUUGGACUCUGGUCCAACAGUUAGAUUGUUUUCUAGUCUUUUACUAUUUUGCUUAAAGCUUGCCUAUAGUUUAGUAGAAACCUAAUGGAAUAUGCCGAUGCAUGAGGUGAUCAUGAAUGAACUUUCUGCCUUAAUCUAUUAUAUAUAGAACUUUGUUUGACUGUCUCGUUUGCUGAAGCCUCUCAUCUAUUACAUGGUGGAUAUGUCUGCAUGUGGCCCACAUACAUAGUUUACUUGGAAAACUUUAGGAGGUAGGUAAUUAUCCACUAUCUCUAGUUAUACCUAAGGUAGUUUUCUUGAUGGAAGAAAACUGACCAUAUUUAAUUAUCUGAUAAGGGUGCCUAGUCUAGCUUAUUUUAAACCUGUGAUGUCUAUCAGUUUUAUGACUUUUAUGGAGGCAUAGAUUAGAAGACUUCUACUUCCUAGUCUUCUUGUGGAUAACUCUAAUCAAAUAUUUGAACAAUUAUGGCUGGAAGUGCGUAUCACCAAUAUUAUCAAUAUAUAAAAUUAUUUUGCUUGAGAUAAUUUCUCACAUUACAUCCCUCCCACAUCUCUAUAUUUCAGUUAUAUUUGAUGGAGAUGGAAAACAUUCGGAGGCCCCUACACUGUAGGACCUCUAUUUGUUCCGUUUACCUAUUUACUUUGAGCAAUAUAUUAUUAUGUCUGUGCUCGUGAAUGAAGUUACAUAUUGAUCUAGUCAAGUGCAGUAUCUGAUCAGUUACAUGCAGAUCUGCAUGCAUAUACAAGAAUAAACUUUUUCAUUUACUUUUCUUUGUUUCUUUUCCUGUAAAACACAGUAACAGAAAUUGAAAAUGUGAAUACAAGUCUCUAUUAAUUAUUGAUUCAGUGGCUAGUCAUCCAUGAAAGCAGAUUUCACCAGAUCACAAGAAAGAUUACAGAAGAAACCAUGACUCCAUGAAUUGAAUUUCUUCUUUUAUCAUUAAACAAUUAAUGAAAAGAGGUAGCAUCUUUAGAAUAUAUCAUGCACCAUUAGUAACUUGUGGGCUUAUUGUGGCUGGAGUUGGUUGGAUGAAUGCUUUCAAACUAUUUUUCUUUAAUUCCUUCUUUCCUUUUCUUUUUGUUUUUAUUUCUUAUCUUUAGUUUAAAUGCAUGUCGAGCGGGCUGUGUGUCCACACUUUCUAAUUUCCAGAGGCCCCUAUCAUAUGUUCCAAGUAUCAUAGCUUGUAAUUUGUUUGCAGGUUCUGAUGAACUUUUAGUCAUCAAUUGUUUGGAACAAGUGGGGUUUUGUAAUAUUUGAGGCUGAAGCGAACCGAGACCAGAUAAAGACCCCAGUGUGGAGUCUGGUGAUCACACCCAUGGAGGUGUUCUAAAAUGGAGAAAGGACUCACCUCAGCCUUAUUUUAAAUGGAGAGAAGCUCAGGACAAGUCCCCAACCGCUCCCACAUUACAACUAACUGAGAAUGGAGACAAGAGAACAAGAGUCAAAAUAUGGUGGAAAACACAUCAUAAACAAGGAUUUAGCUCUUCCACUAUUUUCAAGGAACAUUAGAAAAUUACAGAUUCUUCACUUGUAGUGCAACCACACUGACAUAAACAAUAGUUGGCCGCCAAAGUUUCAUGAAGAACUCAACCUGAGUAUUAGUUUUCUGAAGGUCCAAGGGGCAAAACUAAGACCUGUGCCCUAUCUGUUGUUGGUGAGCCUGGGAAUUCUUACAGUGUUAAACAAAUCUGGAAGGCAAUGGCUGCAGUAAUGGAUAUCUUGGUUGGAGAGAUUGGAGUGAUGCUGAGUCUCCAAGCACGCAUUGCUUUGCAUAUAUUGGACAUUAGUGGUAUGUAGAAACUGUGAGAAGACUUGGAGAAGUUAUAAGCACUACGCACAAAAGCACCCUGGCCUACUAAGUUUCUUGGAAUCAAAUGAAACUCUACCAGCUGGAGGCCUUGAGUGUUCUUUAUGUAAGAUAUAAUAGAUUAAUCUAAUAACCUUUACAGACUCUGUAAGAAGGACCAGAUGCAAGCUUUGGCCAGAGAAGCAGACCGCAAUGGUUGAUUACCUUGUACCCGGGUAAAAGAUUUAUUUUUUCCUAUGGCCACCACAGAAUUCACAUUAGUUUAUAUUUUUUUUAAUAUAAACUUCAACUUCUAGUCUGCAAUUCGAACACAACGAGGGAAGUCUUUUAUUUUCAAAGCCAGUACUGUCAAAGAGGGCCUACAUUUGAAGUACUGGGGGUCUUCUGGGUAGGGCCAAUCUAACUCUUAGGCGGCUGAAGCGGUCGUCUAAAGCCCCAGCCCAAAGAAAGGCCUACCAUAGUCCACAAUAAAGUAGACGGAAGGAUCUGGCCCAAGUCCACCAGAGCGUUGGAUCCUCUCUCUCUCACCCUUCGCUCGGUGGAGACGGAAGGAUAUAAAAUCUCUAACCCUAAAUUUGGAUUGUUUUCUCGCGAAGAAACCUCGUUGAGAUCUACCUUACAUUGAAGCUAGGAUCGGAUUUCUCCACGCAUGUGGGAGCUUUUCUUUCCCAAGAUCCAUCCUACCAUGGAGUUCCGUCGCCGAUCGAGGGUUUCUGUGGUGUUCUUGAUCAUUCUCCUCCUCGUCCUGAGGUUCGCCGAAGACUUGUGCUUCGCCGAGAACCAUCGGCCGAAGAACGUCCAGGUUUCGCUCCGGGCUAAGUGGGCCGGUUCUCCGUUGCUGCUGAAAGCCGGGUAGCCUUCUUUUCGAAUCUUUUUUAUAUUGAUGCGUUAUUUUUUUGGAUUCCUUUUGGAUAUAAUAUGCACAAUGAGAUUUUGUAAUUUGGAAAGUGAGGUAUCUGAUUAGAUGUGUAAAUCUUGAAUGUUACUUUGAUAUACUUUGUUCCUUUUUCGCUAAAUAAUUAAAUUCAUGAUUGUCAAGAUCUUGUUUAAUUUUUAUUCGGAAGAAAGAAUUGGAGCUCUCCCGAUAUGAACAUACUUGAUCUUCUUUUAUUAUUAGGGAGCGAUUGGCCUGCCCUCCAUUAUUUAGUUAUAAAAUUCAUAUGCUACAUUUAUUUGAUCCUCCAUUAUUUCCUCCUCUUAUCUGUAAGAUGUGUCGCCAAGGAUAAACUUCAUCUUGCCUACAAGAUGGAGUUUUUUCGAUUUUGUAAAGAAAUUCAAUGAGUUGGAACUGAACUUAUUAAAUAAAUUUUUAAAGUUUUUUGCACUUAUUAAUAUUUUUUUAUUUUUUUUUAAAAAGGUCUUUCUUAGUAAGUUCACUUUAGGCCUCGAAAUGCAUUGAGUCGCCCCUACUACUGGGAUUCCACGUUUAAAAACUUAAUGAUGUAGACUUUGGGUUAGCGCAGUUUAGCAAGUUUCCACGCAAUGUACGUGCAUUUUAGUGCAAUCCAUUGUAGUUUGGGUAUUGUCAGCAGUUUGAACUACGUAUGGCCAACAUGUGCUAACAGAAUAGCUUGAAGCAAAAUUGAGUAUACAUAACUUAUUAAGGGGAUAAAUAUGUAUUUUGGUUACAUUGUUCAUUUGCAUAUGAAGCCCUCAGAAAAAGAGUGUGUAUUUGGUGACUAAUCUUUCGAGAAUUGAGAAUUACAUAUUUAUUGCUCCAAGUAUAUUUUAUCCCCCAAGAUUAUUCUAUACAUGUAUGUAUGAUGGGGAGGAGGGGGAUGCAUUUUAGGAAAAAGUGGUACAAAGAACAUACUCAAAUGAGAUCUACAUGCAAGAAGUUAUAGAAUCCACGAUAUUAUUUAAGGGCGCAUUUGGUUCCCAACUAGAAUUGGAAUAGAAAUUAGAAUAGCCAUAUCCUCCAAUGUGUUUUAAUUCAUGUCCGAAAUCAAAAUCGGAAUCAGAAAGGAAUUUGAAUACAAGGUGAGAUUAGGAUUUUCGUUUGGAGGAAUUUAGAUAUUUUCAUUUUCUCCCGAAAUCGGAAUGGGAAUAGGACUCCCCUCCACCUAACGUCUAGAAUGGGAGUCACUCAUUCCCACUUCUAUUUCUAUUUCAUAGUCUGACUCUCUCCAGCCAAACAUGCCCUUAGUGGUAUUUUUAAAAAAUACUAGAAAAUAAUACAUUGCAUCAUAUUUAUGAUAAAUUAUCGGGUAUUAGCUUAUAACUCCUCUUUAUUAUCGAAUCAGCUACAUUAUUUGAUGACAUUUUUAACACUUUACCCCAUAUUUAUGACUAUUUUUUGGAUAUUAGUUUGUAGCAUAUCUUUAUUUUUCUUAUCGAUAGGCAAUAAAUACCUUUUUUUGUGAAAAGAAAUGCUCUUUAAAGAUGUAAUUAGCUAACAUUAAAUAAAAAUGCUCUCCAAGAGUAAACAUUAGUGCUGGGUACAAUACCAAACCUAAAUAUAGAGAUGUGAGAUCAAUUUAGCUAAAUAUCUUGAUUACUGAUUUGGCAAAUAAAUUAAAAAUUAAAAUUAUUUAAAUAAAAUAUAUAAUAUAAAUGUACUAAUUAAAAAUUUAUAUAUUAAUACCAUGAUUCCUCGUUAAUUCUAGUAUAGGUCAAAAUAUCUAUAUUUUACAGAACUCUUAAGAAAAAAUUAUAUACAAAUAUAGGAAUAUAUUGAAGAUAUUGAUAUUCUUAAAUAUUUUAAACAAAAUAGUUUUGAAAAUAUUAUGAAAUGAUAAAAUGAAGUUAAUUAUUCAUUUUUUAUUAAAAAGAUAAGGAUUGAAUUUUUUUAAUGAAAGGAAAUAAUUAUUAAAAUAUGAAAUAUCAUGAUAUAUUUCAAAUUAGUAUAUUUUAUAAUAUGAAUAAGUUUUUAAGAAUUAUAAUAAACCCUAGCUUUAAAUAUGUAGAUUAUUGUCAUGCGAUUGGGUGGUUCUUACCCAACUAAGGGUUAUUAGCUCAGGAGGUACAUUAAAUGGUCUUUAGAUAUUUUUUUUAUCCAUAUAAUAUUCUACUAGGACUAAAUCUCCAAAUUUCAUAAAUGUGGGGAUAUAGUCCUUGGCACUUCUCUAGCAUUUUAAAAAAAUACGGGCGAUAUAAUGAGCGGUAUUUUUUUCCAUCAUUUUUUAUGUGUUGAGGAUUCUAUGAUUUCUUCUAGUCGGCAUAAACGUUGUUUAAAUCCUCUUAAAUUUGUUUUUACAUCCAGUUGUAGUUAAAUCAACGAACAUCCAAUUGUAGUUAUAUGGAAAGGCUUGUUUGGGCAAAUUAGAAAACGUUUAGGUUGUCAUAUGCUUAAUGCCUUGAGCUUUUCUCUUUCUUCUAUCCAAUUUUUAUUCCUUUCUUUUUCCAAUGAACAGUAACAAUGUGAAGAGAAGGAGCAACUGCUAUUUUUCAAAUCACUAGUUGUGCAACAAGGUGAGAAGGUACAAUGCACAAGGAAAAGAGGACGAUAGGAAGAAUGGCAAGAACAGAUCAACCCCUCCAUGUCGAUAGAGACAUUCAUUUUUCUGAAAUCUAUAUUGAUAGAGACUUCAUUUAAACAAUAAAUCAUGCUACCACCUUUGGAGACACAUUUAUAUACAAUGCAUUGUUUGCAAAUUUAGUGGCUAUAUUUUUUACAAUAUUUAUGCUUGAAUAAAGGAUUUGUGGGCCUGUAUGUUUCUUAGGGCAUGCAAUAUUUAAAUAGUUGUUCUCAUUGUUUUAUUUGCUGGAUGCAAAUACUUUGUCACUUGUCGGAUUAGUUGAUGAACAUUGUGAAUAAUGUAAUGUAAGAUGCCGAUGCCAACCGCUAUCAAAAAUUGACCAGCUACACCCAGCCUUAUUCAAUCUGCUAGCUGAUUCCUUCCAUAAUAAAUGUGGUAGCUCGCAACCAUUGAAAAGAAUCAACAAUUAUUUAAAUGUUUUGAGAGAAAAGGAUUAAAUUCACUACGAGACCUCAUGAGACAUGAGAUAGAUCCAUGAGAUAGCAGUUGCUAAGCUACCCUCGAGCCAUAUUUCCUUUUGCUUUAAAUUUAUUAAGAGCAAUGUAUAUAUUUCAUCCCAAGCAGCUAGUAACUAGGCAUGGUGCACAAAACAAAUUGCAAACCUUCUUAGUUUGGCUAACUAAAUGUGUUCCCUACAAUCUCUAUCAAAGAAAACCCCCAAGUCAAUGGAGACAAAGCUAUCAAAAAAAUUAGUUACUCAAGAUUAAGUGAGGGAGCAUCCAGUGGACAAUAAUUGGGUUUGAAAGGAGGCAGCUCAAAGAGCCAACAAUGCCCUAAUACCUUCUCUUUUUUUUUUUGAUACAACGGCAGCUCACACCUUGCGAGUGUGAAUGCGGCCAACAAAGUCAAAAAAUAAAAGGUUACUCAGACAGUCCGACACCGCCCCAUGGGCCCUCCAAAUAAAGCCAUCAGAAUGCUGAGCCGCAUAAGAGGCAACAUAGUCGGCGGCCCCGUUCUUUGAAGUAAUAGAAGUACUCGAAAUUGCCUUGUAGAUCAUACAUAGAAAAAAGGUUGCGCUAUAUACUACUCCUUGUGCAAUUACAUGUAGAGAGAGAUUUGCAGGGUAAAGAUGAUAAUCAUUCUUAGUUACAACCCUUUUCAAACUCCAUUACAAAAAUACUAAAGAUAAAACUUGAUGGAGAAAAUAUUAGGUAUCUCGACCUCAGACCAGAUCUCCCUCUUUACCUCAAAUGUAAGUCGAAGAGAACUACCUCGGCCACAACUGAGCAGCAGACCAUCCGACGUGAACUCCAUGGCCUCGGUGUUGAGAUUACUGGGCACAAAACUCACUGUAUCCGGCUUACCAAUUAACAAUUGGUCUCAUUCAGGCAUUCCAUCAAACACAUCACAGGCAUGAAAAGAUAAGCAUNNNNNNNNNNNNNNNNNNNNUCCAAAAUAGUCAACACUCGGCCAAAGAGCCGAUCGACCGAGGAGUCAUCGGCUGGGCAGAAUAAUUGGCACAAGUCAAUAAGGAGUGAUAGUCCCAACAACUAAUAGCCUUGGUAGUCUGCAGUCGCUGCGGCAUCACGUCCUGCACCCCACUAGUGUACUCUGCCGCCUACGUGGACUGGCACCCACGCCACGGCCAUACCACCGGCCAUUGUCUGACCAUCAUUGCAUACGAUGUCAGCCCAGGUAACGACAAACUGGCUUUUCUAUAUAAGGAGAGCAAUUCGAGGGACCUCAGGUAUGCAAUAUAUAUGCAACUCUACGCAUAGAGUGACCCUCUGUUGAAACUCUCUCCCUUCCUUACUGUUGCCCCGUUGUUCUGACUUAGACAUCGGAAGGUCCUCACCAUAAACUCUCCGGCAGAAAGACUUCUUGCAUAACACCCAACGGAGGAGACUAGUACCCGACACCUCAAGUAGCAUGCUCAUCUCAUCUUCAGCCGACCACAAGGUCAUCCGAGUUGUACUCCCACCUCUGCCUAAAUUAUGCGACAACAAAUUGGCACUAGAAGGAGGGCCCAUCCCCCAACUACAUAAACAUUAACCAAAGGGGGAAACAACUAGAAUGAAGUCAUGAGGAACCCACGAUGCAUCAUGUGCUUUGCAACGCCACGCUCCGACCUCCCAAGGGUCGUUGCAGAGUGCGGGUCGGCCUCGAAAGUGGGGGGGGGGGGUGGAUGGAGAAGUACCUCAACCUCAAACCAGAUAUCUCCCUUUACCUCGAAUGUAAGCCGAAGAGAACUACCUCAUCUAUAGUCGAGCAGCCGACCAUCCGACAUGAACUCUUUGGCCCUAACCGAAGAGCGAUCGACUGAGGAGUCAUCUACCGGGCAGGAUAAUUGGCAUGGUCGACAAGGGCUAACAGUCCCAACAACUGACAACUCUUAUAGUCCGCAGUAGCGGCGGCAUUAUGUCCUGCACCCCACUAGCGCAUUCUGUCGCCUACGUGGACUAGCACCCAUAUCGCAGUCGUACUAUCGGCUACUGCCUAUCCAUCAUUGCAAGUCACGUCGACUUAGAUAAUGACAAAGUAGCUUCCCUAUAUAAGGAGAGCAAAAGGUCUCUGUCGGAAAUUCUUUGGCAAGUAGACUUUGCAAGCUACCCAGCAGAGAAGACUAGUACCUGACACCUCAACCAACCUGCUUAGCUCAUCUCCAACCGACCAUAGGGUCGUCUGAGCUGCACUCCCACCUCGGCCCAAAUUCCGCCGCAAUAAAACUAAUUAGAUUCAAUUACCUAGCUCGAUGUCGAGGACCACCUCAAAUUCCACAAGCAAAAGAGGAGGAGCCUCGAAAGGAAAAAUGUCUUUAGGAAUAGUUAUUGGUCUUCCAAUCUUCAACCUGUGAGAAGAAAAGGAAUUCAUCAUCAUUUUUAUAUUGUUUUGUAUAGAAAUGAUAAUGAUAUUUUUUGCUUGUUCAUCGAAGAUCUUGAUUUCUUCCUUUCAAGGUUUAAUGAAUCUCCUUUAUUAGAUUUGUAAGUAGCAAAUGAAAAAAAAUAACAAAUGGAGAAAUUCAUUAAACAAAAUGAAGCUAAAUUUAUAAUCUACGUAAAUUAUUCAAAUAAGUAAAAAUAUUUUCACACGCUUGUUUUUCUAUGCAUUAUCUCAUGCUUUUUGAUUGGUUAUUGCCAACUAGCAAAUCCUGGCAAUUAAAGAAAUUUGGCAUUUUCCAUUCCUAAAAUAAAGACUUUCCAUGAUACCCCUAGUAGAAUAGUUCACCAACUCUGUACGUCCUGAAUGUUGGAUAAUCAAAUCAAAUUUAAGAGUGCUCUCGCUUGAUUCAACUUACAUGGCAUCCUAUAAGGCAUCUUAUAUGAUACGGUCAAAAGGUCGACAAGUGAAUAGUCUAAGUAUCAUGGCAAGCAAAGAGUCACAUGAGUUGAGUCAUUUAAUAAAGUGAAUAUUCACGAAUAUCUUUAGAAGUUUUCAUAUAGUCAUGUCUCUUAGAGUUUCUACACGAUGUAUUCUAGGGUCUAUGUAAUGUUAGUAUCAAUGAUAUGCCGGGUCCCCAAGAGGUGUCUUCCAAAGUUCUUUGUAAGUAUUAAUAAUUGUCUCUCUAGGCUGCACCCAUCUUGGGCAGGUGUGAAUUGCCGUUGUACUAAAAAAAAAAUGUCUCUGAGAUGUUCUAGUAUGUUUAUGUAAGGGGUAUAUCAAGAGUCAUCAUAUAACUAUACAAAACCAUGUAAUGGGAUAUCUUGUAACGAAGUAAUCGAGCAGGAAAAAGUGAUAGAAUGAAACAAUAUUAGAGUGUUAUGCUCCAUCCACCCUCUCAUACUCUCUACCACCAUAUCAAUUAAAAUUAUAGUUGAACUUGAUGCUUCCGCUGCCCCCAAUAUAAUGGUAUUAGAGCUCAAGUUUACAAGCCCGCUACACAUUUGUAUUAGAGCUCAAGUUUAUGAGCCCACUACACAUUUAGGGCUCGUUUGGUUCGCGGGACAAGAAGGGGGAAAAUUAUGGUCAACAGAACAGUAAUGAGAUGUCUCUUGUUUGGUUGGAGUUUUCAAAGGAAAGAGAAGGAAAAGUUGUAUUCCCAUUGGAAUAUGAUUCCCAUAUUUCAUGGAAAAGUCUUUUCCAUGAGAAACAUGGGAAAAUUACUUUCCCAUGAGGCGGGAAUCACUCAUUUUUUUUAUUUUUUCCAAAAAUACCCUUCAGCAUUAAAGAAGCAUUAAAGAGGCAUUAAAAACCUAAUUUUUAUUAGGGGCAUAAUAGGAAUUAUACAUAACUUUCCCAAGAAAGUGGAUAGUCAACCAAACAUAAGCACUUUAGAAAUUUGUCACUUUCCCAUGGUCUACCAAACAUGCCAAAAGUAAUUUCCUAAGUAUACUCUUCCUACGAACCUGAUUCCCAAAAAUCAUAUUUCUAAAAGGAAAAAUGCUUCCCGCGAACCAAACAAUCCCUUAAAGCUAACAAGGUGGUAAAAGAGAAAGAUAAACAACAAUAAAUGAUUGUUCGAGAGCAAGGAAGCUCCGAGUGUCAUUGUUGUGGCAAAAAAGAAAAGAGAAGCUAAAAGUAGCUCCAAUAAGACACACUUUAUCCAUUAGGAGAGGAGGGAAAAAACUAGAAGAUGGAGUUGACUUGCGCCCAAGAGAAAUUAUACAUUCAAACCGCAAACUUCGGAGUGUUCAAACAAGUUUCUAGUACAAGUUUGUGAGGUAUGAGAUGUCACUGAGAAGCCCGAAGGCUGCAUAUCAAAGAAACUGCAAGAAAGAAAGGAAGAAUUUGCAAAAAGGUGUGCAUCAAGAAGUUUGGUAGCAUGCCAAAGAUCAAAAGUCUCCAAGUCAGGUAUGGGAGAAGCUUAAAUUGACAUGCUUUUGUGACAAAGAAUCAAGCGUUACCAAUAGAUUAUUGGUUAGUAGAUUUUGAGGUAAUUAAUUUUUGAAAGAACUGGAUGAACAAUUAGUUGAAAAGGAUGUGGAAGAAGAAGAGGAGAGUGAAGUUGGGUAAGAAAAAAAAAGAUUAGGAGAGAAAAUGUAAAGAUGGAAGAAGUUGAAAUUAGUGAGAAGGAUGGAAAAGAAUAUGUUGAAGAGAUUGAACAAGAAUACAAGGUUGGAAAUGUAUAAAAUGCUAAACUUGAAAAAUGAUCAGGAGAAAAGAAUGUGGUGAAAAAGAAGACAGUAAAGAAAAGUGUAAAAGAAGAUGAGAAAAUAGAAGAGAAGAUUGCAAAUUAGAGGAAUUUGAAUACAUCACAAAACAGAAUAUUGAGAAGUUAGAGAAUUGAAAUUGCACAAGAAUAUAGAAAUUCAAGAAAAAAAUCAUUUUUCAUAUGCAACCAAUAUAACAUAGAAAAAUAUAAAGUCCUAUAAUAUAUAUUGGAAGUUUUUUUCAAUCAAGUGGAACAAGUAAAAUUCCAAGGUAAAAAAAACUUCGAGUGAUGAUUUGCAUAUACAAAUAAGUUAGAGCAUAUUCAAGUGAUGAUACUAUGGGUGCAAGCAAAAGAACUUCACAAGCCCUUCACAUUCGUGGAGAUGGACAUGAAAUUUGUUUCUUUUAGUGAUGCAUGCAAUAGAUUUCAUGAAAAUGGAGGAGCAACAUUUUUACCAUGCCCUCUAGUUUAGAGUGUUAAGAAAUACCCUAAAUUUGUUGUGUUUUUUUUUGGGUACCACUUGACUCAACCUAUAUGGAAUCCUACAAGGCAUUCUAUGUGGAAUGAUCAAAGAGUCAACAGGUUAAUAGUUAAGUUUUUUAAUUAAUUAAAUAUUCAUGAAUAUUGUUUGGAGUUUUCAUGUAGUCAUGUCUUUUAGAGUUUCUACAUAGUAUCUCCUAAAGUUUGUAUGAUGCUAGUAUUCGUGAUAUGUCUUUAGUGUUUCCAAGAGAUGUCCUUGAAAGUACCAUGUAAGUAUCAAUAAAUUGUCCCUUAUAGUUUUUAAUACAUUUACAUGAAGGCAUAGUAUCAAUAAAUUGUCCCUUAUAGUCCAAGAGAUCUCCAUAUCUUCUCUCAUUUACACUUCUACUCCCCUCUCUUAUCAUCUAGGCAUAGUAUCUGGAGUUUGAUAAAACUAUUAUGCUUCUUUGAGAAGAAUAAAUAAAUAACAGAUCAAUGAGAGAACUAAUCAUAGUAACAAACUCUAUGUAGGCUCUUGUUAUUUUACUUCUCUCCAGUCACUCUCAAUGUUUGCCAUUAUUGUUCUAUGCUUCUUUCAUAUUCAGGUUCCCAUUUGAACGGCGAUGUAUUACCAUUUUUUAAAGAGAAGUUAACAAAGUUUUUUUGGAUUUCUUUUCUAAAUUUGAAGUUGUUUUCAUGAAUUACUUAUAUCAUCAGGGAUAUUUAUUUAAAAUUGAUGAGGCUGGAGAUAAACUGCCAUUGGAUGAAAAAGAAUCAAGGUAUAUUCGGUCUUACAACUUUAUGUAAUUUAAGCCAGAGGGAAGAUGAGAAGGGGCUAAUGUCUCGGGGAAUGAAAGAUAUCACCCAAGGUAGGGGUUUGUGUGACAUAAAUGGAGAGAAUCAGGGUUAGUGGCGGAAGGGGAGGGAUAGGGAUGGAGAUAGUGUUGGCAGUCUUUUCUUUCUGCCAAAAAAUGAACGCGCCAAAAAAAUUGUGACAAUGGGCAUGCCACCGGAUUGAAUUAGUUAGAAAUAGGAUGAUCAAAAAAGAUGAUGAAAGUAGAGUGGGUCUUCGUUAUUGUCGCACAGCUCGUUUGAAAGAAGAUGGAUGAGGUAGGAUAAAAUAUAGCCGGAGCCAUGAUUGAAGUGAUCUACUACUGCUACACUACUUCUGAAGAUAGAUUUAGAGUCUUAUUGGUAAACUACGAGCGAGAAAUAAAAAUAAAGUAAAGACAAUUAAAGAUAAGCUGGAUUUAUUCAUGUGUUGCGAGGUCCUCUCUCAAUAUAUGAAAACUUACUCAUCUUGGAUGCUGGUCUUUACUAUUGUAUGGCGCAAAGCCUACUAUUUUCGUACAUAUUAGGUAUUGCUAUCCCUCCUCUCCCAUCAUGGGUGAUGGAAAGAUAAAUGUAGCUACCCCACUCCUCCCACGUCAUGGGUCCUGGCCUUUAUAUCAUAAUCGUUCUAGAUAUAAUGCAAACAGACAAGGAGAGGAAUAUUAGCAUAUGAGAAGGGAGGAUUGGUUGUAACUGGCAUUUUUUAAACAAAAACUUUUUUUUACCAGAAAAGCUAAAUACUCUCAUUUGACGAGGCAUAGAAAAGCCAGACACGCCUUACUAGCUUUUCUCAAAUUUUACUUAUAGUAGGAUUUAGUUAAAAAAAAUAUAAAAAGAGUUUUAUUUCCAAAGAAAUAUCCUUUUACAAAGACAGUUAUAUACCUUGUAGUAUAUCCAUAUACUCUAACCUAUCAUCGCCUUCCUUUUAUAGUUCACCUAAAAAACAACAAUAUCUUGUUUGUUCCUUUGUCUCUUCGACAUCUUUCUUAGACCCCUGUUUCAAAAUUUUUCCUAAACUCUAAUGUUCAAUAUAAGUAUGAAGAAUUAAAUCAACUAAUAUAUGGGCAUUCUAUAAUUCUUUGUAAUUUGAUAAGUAGACAAAAGGGAAAUACCUUGGUUGCAUUUAGAGUUUUUAAAUUUUGUUCGUACAUUUAAUUUUUAUUUGUUAUUGACCAUCUUAGGUCGAUCAGGGAGUUUAGAUGAAUCUGCAAAUUCUUUUACAUGAAAUUAAGAUACUUAAAAUCUAUCAAAUGCUUACAAUGAAAAAAUAAUAUUGAUAGCAAAGAGAAGAAUCAGAUCAAAGAAAUAAGAAGUGCUCACUUUCUUUCCCUCUUAAAUUAUGCACCUCUAAUAUCUUUGAUUACAAAAAAGUUAUUAAGAAUAUAAAUAUAGGAUGAUUGAGAACAAUCAAAAUAAAGUCUAAAUCCGAUUCCGAUAGGACUCUUGCCCUAAAAAAAAAGCUAAAAUUAGAUUCUAACCCUGAGAUAAAAAGCUUAGAGAGUCUUAUCUGGUAAGUCUCCCAUUCUCACUGUUAAUUGGUGAAUUUAUUCAAGUAGUUUCUCAGAAAUUAGUGCACCCAAGCGUAGUCCCUACCACUUGCGGACUUAUUCCUGCUUUUCUCCAAACUUAUCACACGCGGACAGUGGUCGGCCAAGAGGAGCUCAGGCUCAGGCACCUUCUCCCUCUUUCUUUUUGACCAUUUUAUUUCUCCAAAACAUAAAAUAUAGGAUUGAAAAAAAGUAAAUUAAAAUAAAAACAAAAUAUAGGAAUCAGCAUAGUAAUAUUAUUAAUGGCAUUGAAUUUUAAAAUUUAUUAGGAGACAAAACCUUGUUCCACCGUCGUCUUUGUAUAUUAUAUUAAAGAAUAAACAAUUCUUACGUUAAAGAAUAAACAAUUUCCUGGUUAUAGUUAUUGUUAGCAGCAUUAAUCAUCUCCGUCAUCUUCUUCCUUUAAAGUCUAAUCUUCCCUUAACCCCCAUUUCCGCUCCCCUCAGCAACCACCACCGCCACGGAAUUGGGUGGGAUACAGAGAAUAACUAUCCCUAUCCCUGGAAUUGCAAUCCUCCUCGUUCCAAACUGGGCCUGGUAUGGACCGGCUGGUGAGCGUGGACGCCAAGGAGCUGGAGAUCGAAUUCCGGCCGUCGCAGCGGUGCUCCUCCGCCGCGUUCCGCGUGACCAACCUCAUGCACACCAUGGCCGUCGCUGUCCACCUCUCCACCACCCGCCCCACUGCCUUCUCCGUCCACCCCGCCGCCGUCGCCGUCCUCCCACCGCUCUCCUCCACCACCUUCUCCCUCCUCCUCCUCCCAUCCCCCAGUCCCCCGCUCGCCUCCCCGCCCGACUCCCUCCUCGUCCGCUCCGUCCUCCUCCUCACCGGCAAGCCCGAUAGCCCUGCCGCCCUCCUCCGCCUCUUCUCCCGCGCCCCCGCCGCCGCCACCGUCUUCCGCGACGCCGUCCUCCCCGUCGCCCUCGUCGGCCCUCACGUCCUCCGCUCCCUCCUCCAAUCCCGCGGCUCCCUCGAGGCCGCCUUCCUCCUCUCCCGCGCCGCCUCCGCCUGCUCCCCCGCCCUCCGUCACCGCCCUCCUCCUCCCCGCCGCCGCCGCCGGCGACCAUCGCCUAGUCUCCGCCCUUCUCGCCGCCGGCGCCGACCCCGCCGUCCGCGGGGACGACCGCCGCUCCGCCCUCGCCCUCGCCAUCGCCUCCGGCAGCUCCAACGCCGUCGCCGCCCUCCUCGACGCCGGCGCUCGGGUCGACCCCGCCGCCCCCGAUCUCCCUUUCCACGCCGCCGCCGCCUCCGGCCGCGCGGACCUCAUCUCCCUCCUCGCCGGAUCCUGCACCGACCCGGCCUGGGCCAGCGCCACCGGACCCGACGGCCGGACGCCCGUUCACGCCGCGGCGGCGGCCGGGCACUUAGACGCCGUCCGCCUCUGCGUCGCCUCCGGCGGCGGCGAUCCCGACCGGGCCGACUCCCGCGGGUGGACCCCACUCCACUGCGCCUCUGCCGGCGGGUACCUGGAUGUCGCCAUGUUCCUGAUCGGCCAGUCCGCCUACGACGCUCGGCUCGUGCGGACGAGAGACGGGCGGAAGACACCGUUCGACCUAGCCAUCGACGGUGGCCACGCGGGGCUCUACGACGCGCUCGGGCUGGGCGACGCGCUCCACCGGGCAGCGCGCGGCGGCGACGUCGCCAGCGUGAGGAGCUGCCUGGCGCGGGAGGCAGCGGUGGACGGGAGGGACCAAAACGGGUGGACGGCGCUCCACCGGGCGGCGUUCAAGGGGCGGAUCGAGGUGGCGAGGGCGCUGAUCGACGGCGGAGCGCAGCUGGAUGCGGUGGACCACGAGGGGUACACGCCGCUACGGUGUGCCGUGGAGGCGGGGCACGCGGAGGUGGCGCUGUGCCUGGUGGCGCACGGGGCGCGCGCCGGUUUGAAGGGAUUCAAAGGCUUGGAUCUCCUACUGAACAAUUUGUCAUUGGACAAAAAUAUUCGUGCUGUCGACAGGUCUUCUUUGGCUUAUGCACUUUCUCCCUGUGAUAAGAAUAGUGUGAUUGAAGCCCCAACAUUACUCAUAUAAGAGCUGUAUGGGCGGCCGUUGCACCAAAAAAAAAAAUAAAGAAAGCUUGGACAUGGGGUGGAUGUUGUGUGAUGUUUGUAAAUAGUUUUGUGCUGCAAAUUUGCAACUUGUUUUGGGGGCAUCGAAUCGAUUUAUUAGGGUAGUUUGUAUCUAUGAGAAUAUAAAGUUUGAAAUCAGAUCCUGCAUGAUGUAAUUGAGUGAAGUUUACUAUUUGGAAGGUAAAUUACUCUUCUUCUUGAACUGAAGUUCUCAGGCAUUGUUCCAAGAGGAGAAGGUUUGGGAUGUAUCCCACCAUUAGCUUCUUGUUUUGGUGCUGCUUUCUGAACUAGCCAAGAACUGCAUGAGACCGUUCAUAUUUUUUAGCUCCAGUGUGUUGCUGUGAUAACGAGAUAUGGGGUUUGAUAGCUUAAAUCAAAAUGAACAAGAUAUUUGUUUCAAAGUUUGUUGCCUGUCGUACUGCUGUCUCAAAAUGUUUCUUCUUAAAUUCUACUGUUAGAUUUUUCAUGAAUGAACUCAUCUCUAUACUGUUUGUUCCAACAUUACCAGGCAUCCAUGGUUGCAUCUUUUUCUCUUAACAAGCCAGCAUAAGUUGAGGCUAUCCAGCAUCAAUAACUUCAGUGGAGUAGUAUCAGACAGCCCAGCUAAAAGCUUCCGAAGAAGGAUAACAAAAUUGGUAGUACCAAACUAUGCACAGAAGUUCAAGUAGCGCAUCAAAUCACAAGUCCUAAAAAUACAUAGCAUGUGCAUCUGAUUUUGUGCUUGCCACUUGCUACAUUCUGAGCCUACUAAUUCCAAUUUCUUCUAAUUUCAAAUAUCCAACUGAGUUAUAAAUAUGUGAAGUAAAUAGAAAUCAAAACCAGACCAAUGAACUGAUCACCAACUCACUCAUUAAUCUACCAAGUAUAUAAAAGAUUACUACUUGUACAAAAUACAGCUGUGUUGGAUAGUGAGAUCAAUAUCAAGAAACAGAAUGGAGAGAUCAAAAGAUUCGAUCGCAUGACUUGAUCUGCUCAGGAUAUUUGUAUGCUGUGACUUGGAACAAGAGAUUACCAACCAUCAGAAUUCAAGAUCACACAUUUUAAUUAGGAAGAAUUGAAAUCACAUAUAGAAUGUGAUACAUCAAAUUUAUGUUAAGUUGAACCUGCAGCUCAGUCAACACUCCCUCUGAUGUACAUGAACAAAAAUCAUAUGGGACAGGCACCAGAGAAGAAAAUAUAAAGCAUGCAUCUUAUUUUUUUCAUAUUUCUCCUAGUGCCCCUAUUAAAGCAAAAACCUAAAAGUCAAAAACUUCUCCUACCAACAGGGUCGUCGGUCCCAUAAUUCUAAAAAAAAAUAGAAGAAAAGAGAAUCACAUGCAGUAUUUUCUUCUUCCUCGUCGAGCCUCUCCAUCUAUCCUCUUUCUUGUCAAGUUGCCUUUCCUAACCAUGAGGUUUUCUUUCUUCCUUUCGAGUUCUUUUCUUCUCCUCCAAAUUCCUCUGUUUUUUCUAUGAUCUUAAACUUAAGAGUUCAUAGAAUCUAAGAAAUAGUAUAUAUAUAUAAUUUUUUUAUGAUAGACAAAACUAGAAAACUAUGCAUGUGUGCUGAUAUUGGUUAAUAUCAUGUUUUAAAAAUUAUAUAUUGAUUUACCUACAGGUACAUAUUGGCUUAUUAGAUGACUUAAUUUGCCAAAUGUGUAUCACCUACCUAUAUAAUGUGUACCGGUAAAAAAACGUAUUUUAGAAACUGUAUAUCAAUUUACCUAAAAGUGUAUAUUGAAUCACUGUUGGGUAUAUAUCAAAGAAGAUUAUAGUCUGUAAUAAAAAGUCGAUGAGUGUGUAUCCUCUAGCUAUGCAGUAUGUACAGAUGACAUGAUGUUCUAGAAACUGUAACAAUUUGCUUGGAAGUGUGUGAUGGGUUAUUAGAUUACUAGUUUUCUAAGUGUAUCAUCUAAGCAUAUACUAUGUACUAUUGAACACCAUAUUCUGAAAACUAUAUAUUAAUUUACCUAGAGGUGUGUAUUGAGUUGCUAGAUGGCUAAUUUGUUUGAUAUGUCUCAUCUAGUCAUGUUAGUGUCUACUGGUAAAAAGCAUAUUCUGAUAAUGAAGAAGAAAGAGAAUGCCGCAUGCAAUUUUCUUUCUUUUUUUUGGAAAUGUGGCAAAAUAGGAAACAUGCCCUAUAUUUUCUUCUCUCUCUGGUGCCCGUCUCAUAUGAUUUUUGUUCGAUGUACAUGCAGAAUCAGGAUAAGUUGGUGCACGGGAUUGCAUGUCAAACAGGUUAAAUUAUCAUACAUUCUCCCCAUAGAACUUGAAAAAUAAUGCAUAGAAAAGCGCAACAGAAACAUAGUAAUCAGUAAGCAUCCCAGAUCAAUCUAUGUGCUCGCAUCCUCAUAUCCCAGAGAUUGGGGUCUAGUUCUCGGUCAGUUUCAGCAACCAAACCAUAACCAACCUCCUCAUGCCGAUAAAAUGGUCUUGCAGGAGAUGGAGGGAGAGGUCUUAACACUCUUCAAAGUUGUUCCUCGCUUUUGGCUGUUGGUGACCAUAGCAGAUUUGAAGGAAGAGUAAAUUGGACAAAUCCUUCGUAUAGCGCAAAAUACGAAUACAUGGCUCAUAGAGGAAUAAGAACACUUUGUCCAAUAAAUGUUUCAGAUCCAGCUAAGUAUCCUACUGCAUUUGGAGGAUAUCUCAAUGCUCCAAGAAGUAGUCCUACCUGCGUAGUGUUAGUCAUGUAAAUGAGCCUCGUUGUGUACGUUAUAUCCCAGAAACUGAUAGUUACAGUUAAAAAUACAAUGCAACAGUGAACCACCAGAGUCUAUUAAGAAAUGAGCAACUCGGCGAGGAGAUUCAAGACAGGUUAUAGUAAGAAGCAACAGCAUUUUAUAAAGAUUGAUUAGCAUUUCAUCUUCACCAAGUUAAUCACAACUCAGCAACUAGAAAUCUACUAUUCUAUGAUUUAGUAAAAGAAAAAUCUGUAAAUCCUUGCUUUUUCCCCUCCUUGACUAGAAUCUUAUAAACCUAGGAGAAUCUUGAAGAUUUGAUUCCUCCUUCGUGCUAAAUCCUGAGGAUUUGACAUAAGAAACACCAUUCUUAACAGCAUACUUGUCACAACCCAGGACUGAACCCAAAAAGGCUAGCUGGAAGAUAUUAUUUAAAUUUCUUAAUCCAUCAAAGAUUCAAAUUCAAUCAAAUUCAAUCACAUGUACCAUAAAUCAAGUCUAAACCUGUGUUGCAGUGUCUCCUAAUCCACAUGGGCCAUGAGCCAGAUUCACUAUAAUAUCAUUUAUUAUAAUUCAGGACUUCAUCCAAAAAAACUAGUCGAAAGGUAUUGUUUAAAUUUCUCGGUCCUAUAUAAGUACUUAAAAUCUACCUAAUGCAUAGCCGAUGUAGGAUCACAAUAAUGAUUAAUGUCAAUUCAAGAAUCUAACAACUAUAAGAUCAAAUAUAAAUUCAUUAUUUCAAUGAUACCGACAUCAUCGAAAGAAGCAUCAUAUGUUCCUUGAAUAUCUAAUAAGAAAUCCAAACAAAUAUCAAAUAAUGGCCAACUAUGGAAGGAGUUUUAAACAAAGGUCACCAAGUCCAUGUCGUUUAUGGACUUGUUUGUAUAUCAUGCGAUCCAAAGAGGUAUUACUAUAAGACGGCUGCACAGGGUGACGCUUGAGUUCUUGGAUGAGUCAAUGGUGGUUAGGUGUGUCUGAGGGAAUGAGUGAAAAUAUUUGUUGACCAAGGGAUAAGAAAUCUAUGAAAUUGAAGAAUCAGAGUGAUGGAGCGUCUACACCAUCUAUUCAGUAUGAACACUUGCACGCCCAUAAUUUUCUGUGCUCUUUUCUCUUACAAAAAUAAAUUAGUGAUUGAUAAUUAGGUCGCUAGUGUACCAAAUCAAUCAGAUCAAUUAGAAAAAUUAGGUCGACCAGGAGACGGGAUUCGGUUUGCCUUAGUAUAAGGAUUUAAAAUUUCUCAUUAGAACAAGAAUAUUACUAAAAAAAAAGUAAUAACUCAUGGAUAGAGAAAUCAAUGGUUGCAAUGCUGGAGAAUAAAGACACAAGAAGUUCACGAAAAUUCUCCUAAGGAAAUCAUGGCGGUUGUAGGUAAUAUUUGGUAAGGAAGUAGUGCAGAGAGAGCAAUGUUUGUGGAUCCAGUCUUCCAUUUUGAACUUGAAAAUUCGUACGAAACAAACUUUGAGGAACUAAUUUUGAACCAUCCUAUGUCCUCUCAUCUUUAUUUAGGAACUAUUUCUCGGAUUCUCACUUGCUGAUCACAUCUCCAAUAAUUUCAUGGCGACAACAUGUCCAACAACUUUCCUGCUUGAUGUAAUGCUUGAUAGCUUCUACCUAAUCACUGUGACAUAGCUACUACAUGCCACCCAAUGGAUAAUUUUUAGAACAGACGAAUGACCCUUUUUACGGGAAAUUAUUUUAAACUCCUGAAAAGUUGCUAUUUUCCUUAAGAUUUACGUAGCUUAAAGAGGUGACAAAAAUGCAUCCAGCCACCUUAGCUUGAUUCUUUUUGGCAUGGGUUUAGAUCAUGAGAUUUCAAUUUGGAAAGGUAUGGAUCUCUCUCUCUCUCUCUCUCUCUCUCUCUCUCUCUCUUUUCGUUUUUGCUUCUUUUUUUUCUUUUUUUUUGUUAAAAAAAUUACUCCUGGGCAUAUACAAGCUGAUUAUAGGUUAGAGCCUCCACCAACCUCAGAUUAUGAGGGUAGGGUUUCUUUUAUGGGGAGUCAGGUCAUGGCAUGUCAUCAACUUAGACAACUGNNNNNNNNNNGGGGCUUCAAUUUUCUAAAGUCAGCUAAGUAGGGUGGUCCAGCUGCUCUUUUCCAAAUAUUCGUAGGUCGACGUUUACAAGUUAGCUGUCAAACAGAAUUCAUCAAAAUUUAUCAACCCAUGAAUGCUAAAGAGUUCAACAUCCAGCUUGCUCCUGAGUUUAAUAUUAUUCUUACUUUUUAUUACUUCGCCCCCGCCCCCUUUUUUUUUCAAGAACCAAGUCUUCUUCUUCUUUCUAUUACAUUUUCCUUCUUUGAGAGAGAAGUCUCUUGUAUUAAUUACAAGAGGUUUUAACAUUCACUUGACCUCCAUUCUCUGUUCACAGCCCACCUUGUGCAAGAUCCAUUUUUUUUACAUAUUUUACACACUGAACAACAAAAUCUUUUGUGAAAAUUGGAAGCCUCUCUGCAAUUUUCUUAUGCGACAAGGUCCCGACCAACUGUCGAUCGGCACGUAUUUAGGUCUUUAUACAUAAAUUAGAACUUAUCAUAUGUAUACAUCUGCAGCCAAAUACUUAAAAUUCUGAUAUGGAACGAAAUCAACGGUUGUUGGUAACAUAUUGACCUAACUAUCACCACGAGCACCAUAUCCCUAAAUUUGCAGUUAAUUAACUUGCGAUGCCACUUUACCCCCUCACCCUUGCCUAAUUGUCCAGCACUUAGGGUUAUAGUGAAUGCAGGAUGAUAUGAACACCUCUGUAAACAGCACACUAAGUCCUGCUUGACGCAUAGGUCAGUCAAAAACAGGGUAAUUGCAUAUUAUGCGAAUCAGUACACUGGCCGACAAUUGAAGGAUCUAUAGUGCUAUAAUUGAUUCAUUGAAAAGAGUGGGAAUGGAAUGGGAAUUUUAGCAUUCAUUGUUUGGUAUGGCAAUAAAUUUAGGAAACAAAUUUUGCAUUAAAAUAGCCAUCACUUUAAUUGAAGAAACGAUGAUUCCACUUUUAAAUAAAAAAUAGCCAUUCAUAUCAAAAUGAAAAUGAAUAUAUAUUUUUAAAUUAAAAUAAUUAGGAAGAAUUUUUAAAAAUAGUAUAGUUUAUUAAAUUGUAUUGGACAAAAAAAAAAAGAAGUAUAUUAAAAUACAUUAAAAUACUAGAGAAUAUAAAAUACAAAUAUAGAAAAAUGUAUUAAUUAACAAGCAAAAAUAUGAAUAAAAAUAAAAAUUAAAAAUAUAACAAAAACAUAAAUAAAGAAAAUUAAAAUAUGAAAUCCAAAUAAAAUGAAAAAAAAAACUAACACAUAAAACAGAAAACUAAAAAUAAAGUAUAUAAACUAUAGAGCAUAGUCAGUAAAAAAAUACAGAAAGAUACAGUAGAAAUAAAAAAUAAUAAUAAUAAAUAACGAAAAAAUCUCAAAAUAUAGACAAAAUAAUCUAAAAUUGACUACAUUCGAGUGUGUAACUACAUAAAUUAAAUUAAACACUGAAGUAAAUUGAUAUUCCUUUUCCAUGCAUUUUUUUGAUUCACACACAAACAAUAGAACAAGAACUAUGAAUUCUAUUCCUCGCCUUUCAUUCCCAUUCCAUUCCGAUCCUUUUUCAGCUGUACAAACGAUAUGCAGCAUAAAUAUUCUUAAACAGGCAGCUACAUGGAAAAUGAGUAGGCGGUUCCACAUUCUUCAAAUAGAAAUAUGAUGAGAUGCAAGCCCAAGUAUUUUCAACCAGAAAGCAUAAAACAAGAUCUUUCCAAGGGAGUGCUUUACACUGAAAGAAAAACCAUUUGGUGACCACCACUGUCAAUGAUGGUGCAUGGACAUGAAGUGAGAUUGCAUUUGUUUCAACUUUCAAGCAAACAUCCCCUGAUCACCAAAAAAGGCUAGAAUUUAUUCCAAAAAUAUCACGGAAUCCUUCAAGCGCAAAUGAGCAAAUGCACAUGAUAGCCUGGUAAUUUACAAUCAACACAGGAUUUGAGUGAACUGGCAGUGAUUAAGGAACGUGCCUGCCUACUAUUUUCUGUUGCAUGGGACCACCAAACAAACACCUCCUGAAAACUACAAAUUCCCUAACCUUGUGAGGGUGAAAAAGGACGAUACAUGCUGCAAAACACAUAACAACACUAACCAUUAAAAUUACACCAAGACGUCUCCUCAUCAUGUUAGUGGGGAAAAUGUCACCCCAAGAUUGACGAAGCCAUUUGGAACCCUGGUGUGGGUAACAGUGUCGCCUGUGAAUAAUCUUGUUCGAUACAAGUGGAACAUUUUCAUCAUCCUCUUGAGUUGCUGAACUUGUGGCUGAGCACGGACCAUCUUCAUUCCUCGCUCCUUCGUCCUGUUAUAGAUUUGUCAUGAAUUAGUUACUUCAGUGUAAAGCUAAUAGUUCUAAGCAACAGCAGUAACACUUACCAUCUUAAUACAACAUUUAGAGAUUUAUAUGUCUUGAUAUAUCAAAAUAUUAUUCUGUGUAUGAAAAUAAUCAAAUUGCAUCACAACCUCUUCAAUUUUUACUGAUACUGCCAACAAUCCAAAUUUUACAAUAACCAUUCUUGUCCAUGGAGCACAAAAUGGAGUUGGGAAUAUAUGAAUUGGAGAAGGCCCCAUAGUUGAAAGCAAGAAAAAUUAAUUUUAUAGCUUGUCAAAGCACCAGAAAGCAUCGAGCUUAUAUUAAGAAAGUACUAGAAAUAUGCUGGUGAGCCUUAAGGUUUUAUUCAAUUGUUAAGGAAGCAAGAUAAAAAUAUUGUUAAGGUGUUUGGCAAUAAAAUGACUAAAAAAUAGAGAGGAAAUCCUAUAGAACAUAAAGGGGCAAAAUUUUCUUGAAGGGACCUAAUCUAUUUCAAGUAUCAAACCUCGACCAAGAUUGCAUGUGGUAAUAUCAUAUCACAUUUUGUACCAAUAAAAGAUGACAUGGUUAGCAUGCCCCUGGUACAGCCUAAUUUGGCCUUCAAAAUCCUUUUUUGUUUUGGUUUGCAAGAAAUGUGAUAAGAAAUAUAGAUUUAAGUGCCCUCAUCAUCCUAUUCAGUGUGAUGAAGUUUUUAAAGUGGCAAAAGAAAUCAACAACAAUCAUAUUUUAAAAUAAGAUCCGCCAAUAGGCCAUAAAAAUAUAAUUAUUAUAAAACAAUUUUAUUUGAUCUGUUUGUAUCAAGUAAAAAAAAUAUAUAUAUAUAUCAAUAAAUUCUAAAUUGUUAGUGGACAUAAUUUAAACUAAUAUCUAUAAGAUAACAGAUGACAUUCCACAAAAGCAUUACCUCUUCAUCUUUAUACUAUAGUUUACCUAUAUAUAAAUUGCUUGACAAUAAUAAAUAACAAAAUCUCAUGGAUUUAAGUAAAACAUUUUUUAUUUAUUUAAAAGACUAUGUCUAUUAGUGUUAUGAAAUUAUGUUGGUACUAAAAAAAUAUCAUUUAAGUUUUUUACACCGUUUAAUUUCUUAAUAAUUAUCAAGACAAAUUCUCCACAUUAUAUUGUCUGUAACCUAAUUUUUCAGUCCUAACCCCUUCUCAGAUGAUCAUAUUGCUUUGAUUAAGAAAAUGAUUUUGGAGCUAAUUUUGACAGUUUGGUUAACAAUAUCCUGUCAUUUAAAUAAUUACUGAAAAUUAAACUAGUCUUAAAAGAAAUUAAGCAUUUCUAUUCAAAUUUAGCCAUCUAAUCGUCAUUUUUUUUGUUGUUGUGGAUGUAGAGUUGAGUGGACUGAAACAUGAGGCAUGGAAUAGGUUUCAUGAAAGCAUAACUGUCAUUUUCAUAAAAAUCAUUGCACAAUAAGAAAAGGUGCAGUUUUAAGCAUUAAGAGUAGUUGUAGCAAGACAAAUCGUUUUAUUACUUUUUUCUAAAAUUUUUAUUUAUUUCUCAUUUUUAACCAUUUGUAUAUUUAAAAAAUAUGAACAGCAUUUGCGACUGCAUAUGCACCUGCAUCUGCGCUAUGCAGUGAUUUGAUUGCCUGCAUACCGCUUCCACUUUUUAAAACACUGGACUCAAAACCAGCUUGGAUUGCUUACUAAUUAAGCAAGCCAAAAUUCGAGCCAAAUUUUGAGCUGAACACAAGCUGCUCACUAACAGAUCGUUUCUUAGAUAGCCCUGGAGAAAGCAUAAAGAUCAAACGAUUUGAUAAGGGGAAACAGUUGGUCCUGCGGUAAAGAAUCAGGAGAGAAAGGGGUAUCACAAUAAAAAGCUAAAUGGGAGAAAAGAGGAAGGAUUUCAUAAUAAUACAUGACACAUUUGUGCAUAAUAGGAUUAAUAGAGAAUGAAUAAAUGAGUACAUCAUAAAAAUAGUAUGGAUAAUGCUUACUGGGAAUGGCUACGUCUUGGUUGGUAAAAAACGCUUAACACAAACACAAAUUGGAGACACAUGGACAUCUUUACGGCGACUAGAGAUAUGAUUAGAGAAAACAGCAUCAAUAAUUUACUAGUUUACCAGUGCAAAUCAGAGAGGUACCACUAAUCCUGGAUAGAUAUUUAGAGCAACAAAUCUCUGGUGCUUUUAACUAUAUAUAGUAUUUAAUGUUAAUGAUCAUGACAAGUAUUUCAAAAGAUAUACAUGUGCAUUUUAUUUAACAACUAACAACUUCUCCAAUUAUGUAUGAUACCUAAGAGUAGAAAGAGUGAUGUCAGAAAACAUUUCAAAUAAUUAUUUUGAUCAGAAUACUCAGACUAUGAUAACAAAGAAUCAUAGUUCACAAGUAUAAUAGAACUGGGGGAAAGGGGGAAAAACCUUACUUGAUUUGUGCAAGGCAUGGCAGAGACCACACCACUCUUCAAAUAUCUUUGCAGCACAUCAUUUCCAUCAAUUGAGUUUUUUGAAUCUAGUUCCGGCUCCACAUCAUGUAAAGUUAUCUGACAAAGAAUUUCUUUAGCAUGGUUCACAUACUCAUGUAAUAGCCUCAUAUCAGCAUCAGAAUACCAAUUUUCUGACUUAUCAAAACCCUUCCCAUCGACUAUAUUAUCCCAAUAAUGCAGUACAACCUCGAUGAUACUAACAAAUCUGUUUUGUAUCAGAAAUUUUAGUAAAGAAGUUAAUCUCUGAAUAUUUUCCGAACUAAAGAGAGAUUCCCUUUCAUCGAUGUGAGGCUCCUUCAGUAACCAUGCAAUGUCCAAAAGCAGUUCUGAGAUUGCAUUUUGUCUUGACACAAAAAACUCACAAAAGGCUGGACUAGCACCACUAACUGCAUUUUGCGACAUGAUGCUAUCUGCACAAUAGGGUUCACCUAAUGCAUCCUGAAUCCUCUUCAUUUCAGAGCAUACAUUAUUGUUACCAACGAGGAUAGGGACAAAGUUGGAUAUUCCAGAUACAUUCUCAACCUACAAAAGAAAAACUGGAUUAAUUGUACUGCAGAAUAUUCUCAAUUGAAAUAAUAAAAUAAUGAUCAGCUUUUUAGGAAAUUAAGUUCUCGUCCUAAUCUAGAUAAUAACAUGGCAGACAAAAGCAAGUAAAAUUGUAACAAUGGCACUUAUAUCAGUCAAAAAGUGUUAUUUUUUAAUUAUGAAUUCCUAUAUCAUACUAAUAUCUCGCAGUAUUUUUUAUCAAAUCUCCAAAAUAGGCAAAAGCAAGAACGGCGGAACUGGUACCAGGCACCGUACCGGUUGCCUGGUAGGACGAGUCGGUAUAGGCAAGCGUCGUGCCGUGUCGGGGCCGUACCGACACAUCUACGGCAAGGGAGAGGGAAAACGAGAGGAAAAGAGAGAGCGGAAGAGGGAGGGAGAGGGAGAGGAGGAAAGAGAGAGGACGGCCGAGGCUGGCCCCGACCAACCUCUCUUGCUUCCUCUCCCUCUCCCUCCCCCUCCCUUCUCCGCUCUCUCUCUUUUCCUCUUCUCCUUCCCCUCCAGCAACCCGUCUCGAUAUCCAUGGCAGAACUGUCCCAAUCGGCCGCCGAUAGGGCCCAUGACACCCCAAACCAGGUGGCUCAGGAUGGUUCCACAGACCUUGGGCAAAAGAAACAUCAAAAACACAGUUCUAGCAGGUAUGAAGAUACAUCAUAAUAACAACAAAUUUAACUGUCAAUAAGGCUAGGAAGUCAAUGAGACACAGAAACAUUGUGUGCAGACCACCAAGUAAUUUGAAAAUUUCUUUCCCCACCAACUUUUGUGUAAGAAAAUCUACCAACUCAAUGUUUAGAUACAAUAACAGUAGUCAGAUGAAGUAGCCAGAGAAACAUGUGUGCUAAAAUUAAAAAUAUAGUCAAACCUGUGUAGCUAGAUAUGCUUAAUAUUGUCAAUAAAAUGUAACUCAAACAAGAAGCUACACAUUAAAGAAUUCUAUGGCUUGGAACUGCAUAUCUGCACGAUCUUCUAUUAUGACAUAUCCAGAAAUUUUGGACAGUUAAAGUAUCUGUAAACAAAGCACUUAUGCUGCUUGUAACUAUUCCAAGGUAAAGACAUCAUAGGCUAUUCCUGCCAUGCCUUGAAUUAUUACUGCUCCUAUGGACACGAGCACUGUCAGCCCAAAGUUAUUUCAGAAAUGUUAACCAAACAAAAACGGAUAGCUUUUGAAUAACAGUUCCUAUAGGAAUAACAAUACAUGUCCCACUUUUUCUUAUUUCUCAAACUAAACACAGCCUAAGCCCUUAACCUCCUCCUUCUACUUGGCUGCCCUUCUUCCUUCACCUUUUUAUUUCAGCUACAAGUGAGAUAGUAUAUUUUCUUUUGGUUUCAUGAUUGGAUUUAAGAACAAGACUAGAAGAAGAAUAUAGUGGGAUCAAGCAUGGGAUGAUACGGUGCCCUUAUUUCUUUUUCUUUUCAUCCAAACUUGUCUCUUUGAUCAUUGAACAUAAGGUACCAUAUAUAAUUUACUUUUCAUCUUUACAAGUUAUGCACUUUGAUUCUCUUGGACCACGGGAUCAUUUGUUCUUAGAACUUUCUUUUUUCUUUUGAGAGCUGCUGCAGGGAGGGGGUGCUGGGAUUGAAGAAAAUUGUUGAUCAAAAAAUUUAUAGAUCCCCUGUGAUGACCAAUCCCCAUCCCCAAUAGAAAGUGACUCAAGGCAUCUGAAGGCCCAAUGACAAGCCAACCUAAACCCAUUUUUUAUGGGUUUGUCAUCUUCGAUCACCAUGACAUAGAGUUGAGACUUUCCAGCUAAAAACACUUGUGAAGGAACCUGCAAGACCUACAAGGGUCUCGCAAUGGUCAUAAAUAGCACGGUGAUUGAAGACAAAAACCAUGGAGAGGAAGUACAUGUUUCAAUUAUGGAUUUUAUAUUUGAUAACUCUAUCACCUAGUUAUGAAAUGUGAACAUGUCACUUUAUUCAAUCACCUUGAACAGAACUUAGGUGUUAGGGUUUGCUUUUUUUAGGCGACCACCCAUCAAGCAUUAAGGCACUGAAACAAUGCAACCAUUAAAUUGUCAGAACUAAUCUAAAUGUUCACAGGGUUGAAUGAUUGUUCAGUGCAAAACACACAUGUUCACUAGUUGUAAUUAAAAACAAAUUAACUGUCAAUGAAGGUAAACCAUCAAAGGUGUAUGUUGAUAUUCAAUGGUUGAUAAUACCACAACAAGAAGGAAUUUUGAUUACUUACAUGAGCAAAUAAAAACUACAAUUAAUUAAAAAUGCUUCAUUUUUGAAAUUGUCUUUUACAUAGUCAAAUAUCACCAAAAUCAGGCAGCGACAGAAGAAAGCGUACAAGUCAAAAUGAGAGAGACAAGAGCAAGAAGAGAGAGACCUCAAUAAAUGCAGGGCCAAAAACAUCCAAGUCUGUCUGAGUUAUAUUUAUCCUGAACAUCUCAUGGUCAGAAUUGUGGAGGUACUCCACCCCAUUUUCAUCAUAAUACUUGCUCUUCCCAUGACAUAUGACAGAACAAGAAUCGAAGUUGAGAUAUUUUCCAGCAAAUGACACAAGAAACCUGUCAUUAAAGAUAAAUUACAUCAAUUUAGUGACUUCUCUUCUUAAUAAAAUAUUUUGAUCACAAACACUGAUACAAUUCAUGGUUAUUGCAUAAAAAGAAAUACCAAAAUAACAUAUUCACAGGGUAUUCACGACCUCAAAAUGGUACUCACGAAAUAUAAAAAGAAACGUUACGAUCAUUAUAGUAACAUGUUGAUGACAAACAUAAUAUAUAUAAUAGAGAAGAAAAUUGCAACAAGAUUAUUAUAAAUCAACUGAUAAUAUUAGAACAAAAUCAUAGCUGAUAAAUGCAAAAUGAACUCUUCCUUUUUUUGGAAUCUUCCAUAUGUAAAGAUUUUAAGACCCAAAUAAGAAGCAGCAAUUUAAACAUUCAGGGGCUCAGAAGAAACUGCUACAUAAUGGGACACCUCCAACCCACCACCUUUAAAUUGGUCAUACAGCUGUUAUUGAAACCAUGCGGAAGCAGUGCACAAUUCAAACAGGGAUAACGGCAAUUAAAAACUUAUUAUCAUGUCAAAAGCAAGUAUGCUAUAUUUUUUUAUAAGUGGAACAGAAGCUAUUGUGCACAGAAGGUCUGCAUCUAAUUUACAAACCAUUUUUAGUAAAACAAUUCUCUAACAACUUUAAACCUCUGGUGCAAACAUUAAAGAGCACUUCAUAUACACCAUGCUUCAAUUGCAUUGGAUAUGUCUUUAUGAUCUCACCUUUCUAAGCUCUAUACAAUAACUUAAGGAUACCUCCUGAUUAUUAAUUCUAAUUGCAGCCUGUUUCUCAUUAGCGGAACCCAACUUGAUAUCAGCAAGCUAAUCCUGUAGGAUAGCAUUUAUACUCCCAAUGUCCCAAGCAUUCAUGUUAUAGCCUCAUUUAGUAUUGCUGCAUCAUCUCCUUAACAGAUACCCCUUGGAGCCUACUAAACCUCAUGGGCUAACCGCAGAUGGAAAUUCAGGUUAUUAAGCAUGCACGUCACUGUCCACAUGGUUUAACAAUCCACUUUCUUCUCUUUCAAUCUUAUUUAUAACCAUCCAGAUGAACAAAAAAUUAAAAAUUUUCUCUUUGUGAUAGCAAGAAAGUAGCUUGAUAGAUCUUGCACUAGCACACACACAGACACGCACAUGCACACAUGUUCACACGAAGCUGAAUAUUGGUGACCAUUAUAGGAUCUUAAAAUUUUUCCCCACUUCCGGCACCCUUUGAGUGACUACAACAAGUGGAACAUAAACCUUCACCUCCAAAAUUUCGCAUUUUCCUUUGCUAAAACAUAAGCUUGUUAGCUAAAAAUAAUUCUGAUUAUGUCAUGAGGCUAGCACUGAUUUCCUUUCAAAUCUUUUAACUAACAGUGUAAUCAAGUUUAAAUUUUGGGAUAUGUGCACCGUCCCUAAGUUCAGUCGAAUUAGAAUGCACUUCUAGUAGUAUUUCAUAUCCAUUUUCUCAUAUUGUUUGAUCAAGUUUAAAAAAAAUUAUGUGAUGGGAGAAUGCUUGGAAUGUAUCACCCUCCUUAUUGUCAUAUCUCAAGCUAGAAAUGAGCACAGUCAGCAGAGAGGAAUGAUUAUGGAUAAAAGACCAUAAUCAGAUUAUUCGACCAAUACACUGGUUCAACGAAAGAAGAAAGUCUUUGCCACACAUAUAUGAAGACCGAACUUAUUAAUCAUGAUCUAGUAGGUAUACUCUGCUUGCAUGACCCCCUGGAAAAGGACCAAGGGAGACAGCGAUUCCUGUCUUAUUGUAUUAGUAAUGAUACUAACCAGGUUUUCUUUUCAGGAUGGCACUAAUUAAGGUAGUGACGCAGGACAGCCUUGGGGAAAGAGAGAUUUGGGGCUUCAGGAUGCCGAGGCUAGACUGAGAGAUGGCAGAAAUUUCUGUUCCUAUCUGCACUGUAAAUAAAAAUGAACUACAUGUUAAGUCUCCUGAUGAAAAAUAUGGAACAAACGAUUAGGGUUUAAUCUUGGGUUGACGAUCUAGUGUUAGAUCAUAAACAUCAGAAAAAAAUGUUUAGAAAAACAUAAAAGAAAACAGAUAUAAUAAAAGAAGGGAGAGGGAUAUGAUCCAGACUCAAUCUGGGGUGGUUUCACUCCAAGAUUGAGCAUCAUCCCUGAAAUAAGAGAAGAGAAUCAAGAAAGAAGAGAUGAUAACUUGGAUUCACUCCUGAGGCAUCGUAACCAACUUUGUAUCAGUGGAGAUCUCAAAGCAAAACAUAAAUAAAUCCAUGAAUCGACACUGUCAUCACAACCCUAACAGAGGGAGCAGCGACAAGUUAAAGUUGACCUAAUCGUGGCAUGGGGCCAAAAUGCACCUGUUCUCAUAAAUUAUAACCUAAUUACAAGUCAGCCAUGUGACUAAGAUAAAUUAAAAUAACAAUAAGUUCAUGCUCAAUUUAACUUUGGCCAAACAAAAUACAAGAAAACAAUAGAAAACUACAUGAACCCAACUAACAACUCAAACCAUAAAACUGAGAUCAAAAGACUCAAACGACUCAAUUAGCUAAGACUCCAUGGACUCAAUUAAAGCCCUUAAUCAUCACCAGAUGCUCUCUGUUUGCAAGUCUCCUAUCUGAAAAUUCAAACUUCAGCAGCUAAAUCAAGCAGUUCAAAGUCAUGGCUCCACAAGUUCGAACAGUGAGAAAGAGAAAAAGAAAGGAAGAAAGGUUCGAGUGAAUAGAAGACUGUAGGUGAAAGGUGAAUUAAAUAUCUAUAGACGGAUAGACAGCUCCUAUCAGGUUCUCCAGAUAAAUUUACUAUAUAUUUAAUUUAGCUACCAGCAGCAUAUGUUGUUGGUUCCUGCCACAUGACAUACCUCUUGCAUAUUUCGUAAGGUUCAGUUUGAGAAUCAGUAAGUCUACGCUUCUCAAGACAUUUAAAUUUGGUAAUAAAGCUUAAGUUUCACCAGCAAGGAGGAAAUCAGUACUAUUUGUGUAAGGUGCAUAUUAGUUUCAUUCCAUCAGUUCAUUGGCAUAACUUGCAUAUUUCCUAACAUUCAGUUUGAGAAUAAGCAAGUUUGUUAGAAAUCUAUGCUACUCAGAACAUUUAAAUUUGGUAAAAAAGCUUAAGUUUCACCAGCAAGGAGGAAAUCAGUAGUAUUUGUAGAUUAUAAUAGAACAGAUAUUAUGAAAUAUACUGUUUUUCAUAAAAUUCAUUUUUCACAUCCUGUCAGCGUUCCCGAAACAGGUUUUGAAAAUCAACAGAACAAGUGUCUUUAUAUACCUUGUUUUCUCAGGUUUUUGCAUAAAUCUGUUUUAAUGAAACCUGAAAACCAAGCAGCUCCUCAAACUAGAGAAGUUAAUGUAAUCAAAUAUUCGAAACACUUACCUAAAUAACUGAAUAAAAAAUUAAAAUUUGAUUGCAAUAUACAAAAUAAAUAGUUUAACAUUUUCACCCAAUACAUAUUGUGGAAAAAGGAAACUUUUGUAAGCUAAAGGACCAAUCAAUCUUAGUAGAGCAUCACAAUUCCAUAUAUACUAAAGAGAAAAAAAAAUGCAGCUAUACUUGAGCAUCUGAAGCAUAUUUUAGAAUUUGUGGUCAUCCAUAAGUGCAGAGAUUCACUUAUACAUCAUGCAGCAAAAGUCAUAAAAUGACUGAUACAUUACCGAAAUUUAGGCUGGUUAAGAUUACUUCCACAGGCAACAAACUCCAUUGGUUUGCCAGCUUCAAAAUAAGUAGGGUAAACAUAAUGAAGCCUUGGAGCUUGAACCUCCAUCUUGAUGUUCAUCAAUGAUGUUCCAUCUAAAAUCACAAGUAAAAAAUCUGAGGCUUCACCACAUGCCCUCAUCCAUAGGACACUAAUAGGGAAAAGGAAAAAAGAGAAAACAGAAUGUUCCAAGCUAAAGAUAUAAAUAGAAAACAAUAUCAUCAGAUGUGCUCAAACAAAGGACACUUUGAAAUCAGCCUACAUAACUAAAAUGUUCCUAUAUGACAUGACUAUAAUGUUUUUAUAUGACUUGCACUUGUCACUGAGAUGAUGCAGACAACUAUCUGUGAUUCAUGAGACUAGCAUCUUAUGCAUUCUUAAUGAAAUAGAAGUCUAAGCCUUUUAUUUAAAUCAAUCAAUAUGAAGCUUAUCUGAGUGUUCACCAUAGUAGUCCCAAGGGAAAAAAAGGAAUAACCUAUGCAGCUAGGCUGACAAAUUUGUCAAUCAAAAUCCUAUCACAUGUAAAUGAUUACAAUAAAAUAAAGGUGCAAGACUUUUACUUGAAUCAAAAAUUAAUGAAGCCUCUCUAGUGCUCAAAUAGCAGUCUCAUGAAAAACGAAGGAUAGCGUCUGCAUAUGCCCACAUAUUUGUCAGUCAAAAUCCUAUCAUGCAAUUCACUAAAACAUAAUCUAUACAUCAUGCAUUAAAAACAUCAAAAAAUUUCAGCUCCAAGGUUAGCAUGAUAAGUUCAAGAUUCAUGACACCUUUCUCCAGACUAUCACCUAAACUAGCAAAUUCUUCUAGCACAGAAUUAGCUACUUCUGCCUUUCAUUUUUCUUGAUGCUUGUGACAUUAGUGGUUUCCCCAAAUGUCCUUAGAAAUCCUAACAUUUCAAAAUGCACUCUUUAGAAAUGAAGUAAAAAUUGUUUGUGCCUAAGGAAUAUGACUCUAAAGUAUUUGUGCCAUAAAUUUGUGCUUAUGAUGUUUUACCAAUAAAUAACAAACUUUCCACCCAAGAAUAGAAAGCUAGAACUGUUCCACAACAACAUAUACAUUGCUAUACAUGUAAGUUGAUCUAAUAACAACUAAGAAGCCCCGCCCCAUUUAUGUUGCAUUGCUUAUGAGUCAUAUUCUCACCAUUGCUAAAAAUAAAAUAGGACUCAAAAAAUGGUAAUGACCAAGGUUUUAAAUCCCGUUGGACAAGAUUGUCCUGGUUUUUCCAUGGAAAAGCAUGCACCACCUUCCUGCCCCAUCCUGACACUUGGGAGAGGGAUGUCCCAAAAUGCAUGGAUCGAGAUGCUAGGACAAUGGCAGGAUGUCCCGACCUAGUGCUUGGAACUAAGAUAUGCCGUCUUAGUACCGGGCCCCGUACCGGUGCCACACUAUCGCUAUGUCGGUAUGGUAUAGUACGGAGCUAGUUUGGCAUACCGAAUAUCAGUACACCCACCAUAUCAUGUACCAAUACCGAACCGGUAUAGUAUACCUCGUGUAGCCCAGUUCGGUACGGUACGGCGAAUCUUGCUUAGGACAGUAUGCCAUCCUGGUAUCCUGCGAGACAUCUCACCUUUAUUUGAAACCAUGAUCAUGGCACCACCUUAUUUACUUGAAUCGGUACGGUAUGGCGAACCUUGCUUAGGACAGUACCCCAUCAUGGCAUCCUGCGAGACAUCCCACCUUCAUUUGAAACCAUGAUCAUGGCCACCACCUUAUUUACUUGAAAGAAUAUUAGUGUGAAUGUCUUGAAUGCAAUAAUCUGUCAAUGGGACGCAAUACUAUGAUUCACAUGCAGCCAUGCAAGCAUGAAAUGCAUUAUUGGAGAACAUCUCACAAGCAUGGAUGGCAUAACAUGCGACAGUAGCAUGCCGACCGAGCCUACCACAAUACGUACCAUGCCAUGUUGUACCCAUACUUGGCAUGCAACUAGUACUGCACCGAUAAAUUAUGCCUUAACAUGCCGCAUCGAUUAGCUAGUAAAUCUAAGUUUACAAAUUACAAGAACAAGAUGAAAACAUGCUACUCAUCUGAUGGAGAAGAUACAUGCAGUCUGAUCAUUCAAUGCAAUCAAUGGUUCUCUAACUUGACAAUUCAGCUGCAAAAAAUAUUUUGAAUUGAGUAUAAUGGUUGAAUCGUUGCCAUACCAUUUAAUCACUGGACGGUUUUCACACUUAAAGAGAUGCCUAUUUUAGUUUUCUUUAGGGUCCAUACCUCUGUAGUCUUAUCCAAACGUAACAACACGUACAAGUACUAUGAACAGGAUUUCCACCAAUAGCAAAAAUUUCUUUGGUUGGAUUUCUAUGAAGAGUUUCUCCAAAGAAAAUGCUCACAUAAAAGUUGUCAUACAAGAAGCAAGCUCAAAAUCAUGCCCAGGGGGCAAACCGUACCAUACCAAGAGGGAACUAGUACCGAGGUGUGUACCAACCUAUACCAAGGCGUACUAACUUGUGCUGAGAUGCAACGAGAUGAAAAUUCAGAAAAUAAAACAGGGGAAGCGGCUGCGGAAAAAAAAAUAGAUUUUUAAGUGAAGUCAGCAAACCUCCGCUGCCCCCGCAGGCUCCGCACCCCCCCCCCGCUUCCGCCUGCCCUCUGCGGGCAGCGGAGGCCUCUCCUCCCUCCCUCUCUUCCCCGCUCUCUCCCCUUCUUUUCGUCUUCUCCGGCUCCGGCUGGGUUCGGCUCGUGCUGGUUUUCACAGCUCCAAUGUACCAGUUACACGCCGGACCGGUCCGAUACAGCCCGAACCGGCCAAUUCGGGCCAGUUCGUCAGACCAUGCAGUAUAGGACUAUAGGGUGCGUACCGUACCGCACCAAACCAGUAUGGUAUCGAUACAGUAUCCGCUACCGAGACUGCGGACCCUUUCAUUCUUUAAGCUUUUGUUUAAAAAUCUUUCUUUUUUAAUUUAGAUUUCAUAUUAAAACCAAAAUCUGAUUCAGAUCGUUUUGUGCUGGUAAUGCAACAGAUGUUCAAGUUAUUCAGGAGGUGGUGAUUACUGCAUCAAUUUCAAACCAAAAUUUUAAACACAGAACUUACAAUGUGAAUACCUUUUUCCUUAAUUGAGUGCAAAUAUCCUUGAUUUUAUUGCCUGAUAUCGACUUGAUGUCAAGACUCCAAAGAUUUGAUGAAAACUACCUGGCCAAGACAACCAUGAAACCUAAAAGGCCAGUUGGUAGGAAGACCCAUUUUAUUGUCCGCAAAUAAAGCUCAUGCAAUGAGGAAACAUACCCCCAGGAUACCACAAGACAGAAUCAAGACAGCUAGGACAGAUGAUAGCAUUUGCUAAUUCUACUUUGAGGCAUAUAUUACGAAUAAAAGAAUACUAAAUCAACUAAAUCACAAAUAUUAAUCGUCCACAGUCCAAUGGGAAAGGGAUUCAAUAAUGGGUAGAUUCUUAGACUAAUUAAACUCAACAAAAACAUAUAAAACACCCAAAACUUCAUGGGUAUUUAAGCAUGAGUACUCCCAUCAAUAAAAGUGGUAAAAAUAUCAUGAGAUAAUAUCCAAAUAAAAGAUGAAGCUAGAAGUUGAAGAGCAUCACUGUCUCCAGCAAUCUAAAAUCAAAAACUAUUUCAGAAUACGAUCAAAAUUAUAUUGCCAUUACCUAGUCAGAAAUAAAGAACAAAUAUAACAAAGUCAAGUCGGUGUAAAAUAAAGAAAUAAGAUGAGAUACAUUGACAUUUUCUAGUAAAGUCAGUUUAAUAAUGCGUACCUUUCAAAAUGUGAAUGAUCAUAUGACUAAGAUAAAUAAAAAAGGUGCCUCUUCCCAACAGCAAACUUCCAGGUGCAUUAACUAAGUCUCCUAUGUAUUGGGCCGCAUCUCGAUAUAACUGUUUGGAGCAAGUUUAUUUUAAAAUUUUACAACAUUUUGGAACUUACGCCUUGAUAAAAUAAUAUAGAAAUAAACUCAUUUCUAAUACAUCAUUAAAUGAUAAUCAGCAAAAGAAGCGCACAACUGCAAUCCUGAAUAAAUAUUAUAGAUUUUGAUGUAGUUCAGUACAGUGCAAAAAUAUGGAAAUAAUAUCAUGCAAAUAUUUUCAUCAAUUGAAGCCAUAUCGAUUGUUGUUCAUAUCAUUAAGGCAUUGAAAUGGGACAAAGACAUCAGGAAUCCAUAAGAUAGUUAUGCCAAAAACUAAAUAAUAUACAUUAAAUGAUUUAAAUUACUUUAUACUCUACAAACCAAUUUACGUUAGCACAUUCCUUAAAUUUACAUGAUUGAGGGUAAAAAUUUAUUAUAUCUAAUCAAGACAGAGUUGUUAUAAUCUUUGAUAUUCAGAAUAUUAAUUAUUAGCAACCAGAUAUCAGCUUCAAAAAAAUCGUCAAAUAAGUGGGUUAUCAGACCUAGGACCUUUAUUGUUUCCAAACCAGUUUAAAAACUCAAAGAAAAAUCCUGGUCCUAUAUGAAUUCAGAAGUUCAUCCUAAUCGAGCAUUGAACUAUUUGCAAAAAGAACUAACCAGAUUGUCGUGCUCCAUAUAAAAAAGCAAAAAGCUGAAGUUUUCUGAAUCUUCUUUGAAAAGCAGAGAAAAUAAGCAUAAGAGAUGAAAUAAAGAGACGAAGACGAGUUUGGCUGAACGGACCCGAACCGGGCAGUUCAAGCCGUACCAAGCCAAACCGAUCAAGAAUCAGAACGGCUCGGGCGGUCAGGCCAGUUUAGCUGUUAAAAAUAUUCUGAGCCUCCUGUUAGGCCUCUCCAUGCCCUCAUUCCACUUUUUGCAUGCCCCCAAGAUGUCGUUGUGCAUCCCGAGCACCCCAAUCCAUGCCCCAACCAAAGCCCUAGGUCCUCUCUUCCUCCCUCAUUGUUGCUUAUUGUGCACCUAUUCCAAGGCGAAAGACCCCAUGGCCCCCAUCUCGCCCUUUAGGGAAGAAGGCCCUCUCCAGAACUCUUUUCCAUCGAGCUUCAGUGGUUUGAAGGGGUGGAGGGUUCGAACACCUUCAGCAUCUCCGCCAACUCCAUGACAGAGAAGGCAGAGGAGGAGGUUGAGCAUGAGCAGCGAGAAGAAUACGGGGAGCUCUAUCACCCUCUCUCUCCCCUUUUCCCUCUCCCCCUCCCUUUUCCUAUUUCAGUAUGUCCCAAAAUGGCACAGUAUGGAUUUGUACCAUAUCGUGCCGGUUGCCAACCGGUACGAGCCCCACUACCAGUUUGGUGAACCUUAGGCAAAGAUGAAGACAAAAUUCAAUAAAGAAGUGAAAAAGGUAUUGACCCUUAGAACAGUCAAAGAAGUUCCAUAAUGCAUACUUAACAACAAGGCAACUAAAGCGCAUAUAUCUAAUUGCUGAAAAUGAUAUACAAUGGUAGAUCAAUACAUACUGAGGCCUAGAUGAUAUCAAACCCUCAACAAAAUGAUAUAAAUUUCCUGUGAAUCCUUUCUAAUAUUUGGAUAUUUGUUUGUUGACUUUGCUCCAAAAUUUUCUUUUGGAACAUUAAAAAUUUGUCUGCUAAACUCCCUGUCUGCUUGCAAUGAAGAGAUAAAUUCAAAUCUAUGAUGCUUUAUAUUUUGGCAUGUCCCCGUUCCUAGAGACUGACUUAAAUUAGUAGGUGAAUGCCCAUCAUUCUGUGCGUGUUAUGCUCCAAAGAACUAACACCUUACGAUUCCAGACUACCAGCCUCUCAAAGAGUUAUUAAAUGUGGGAACUUCGAAUUUUAUGAACAAGAGCAAAGUUCUACCUUGAAAACAGUUAAUUCUGCUACUAAGGGAUACUUCUUCCGACCAACUGGCUUUGCUUGUAAUAUUUCAAUAACCAGAUCGAGUCUUCCUACAACAGCAUUCUAUGAAUAAGAUGAGGUAGAUUCUCCCCACCUGUAAGAAAUUAACUGAUGCAAAAUGCAACAUCGCAGGCAUAGGUUCAAUCAUUCUUCAGCUCCUCAUUUUUAUUCAAUUACAAAAUGCCUCAUUCUGAUGGAGAUUUGUGGCAUCAUUGGAGUAACUGCAGAUGGAGAUCAUAUAAUUGUAAAUUUCAGCUACCUUCAUCCACAAAUAAGUGUAAAAGCGACUGUGUUUUCUUUCUGGAACUAUACGAGGGCUAACAUAGAUACCACCUACUUCAAACAAAAGGGCAUAAAUAUGUUUCAGGAUGAUCAGCUGCUCACCUAAUUUUGCCAAUCUUAUUUGAUGUUUGCCAGAUGAUAGAAGGGCCAAUAUUUGUUCUAUCAUAGAAGGCACGCGCAAGUGCAUGAUCAGGAAAAAAAUUUAAAAUUUACCAGUUGACUGGAGACUUUAUUAUUGGUAUAUUGAUCGGUCCAGCACGGAUUGAAAUAGGAGCCAGUUCAACAGGAAGCUUUUGAAAAUGCAGUGCACCUAGGUAAAUAAGGAACAAGAUGAAUACAGAAGUUAAAACAAGCAUCCCACACCUGAAGGGUACCCCACAUAGGCUUUUCCCGAAACCCCCCAGUCACUAAGGUAAACAAAAUAGAAAACGCACCAAUUUCUGCACCGGUUCCGGAAGAGCGAAGAAAAAGGGGAUGUUUUGUUAAUGAAAACAAGGAUAUCAAGAGAGAGUAUAUUAGAAGAGAUAAGAUCAGUUAGAAAUAGAUACCAGGGAGGUAGUUAGGCAACUAUAUAUUAUCUUUUCAGCAGACUUCUUUUUCCAAAAUUGACCGCAUUCAUAGUUAUAAUAUAAUGAAGUUCUUUAGAUAAGUAACUAAUUUUCUACUCAAGGGAAAAAUUAACUAGACCCAAUAGUCCCCCCAAUGCUCUCCUUAAUAUAGCACAGAUUGGCUCUAUGGAGGUUUUGUUUUUCUAAGGUCUUGUCUUUCCUUUCUGUCAACUUAGUUUCCUCUUCUACACCCUGCUUCUUUUCUUUCUUCCCUUCAGUAACUCUUUUCAUGGAUCAUGUUUUUAAAGAGAUUAUCCACGUGUUCAGACCUCAAAUAUAUUUCAGCGAGUAUUAAUCUAAUUUUGCAUAAGGGGUCUCAUCACAAGCAUUUCACUGAGUGCAUUUUCAGCCCUAGAAGACAGCAACCAAAACAUUAUGCACCAUGCUGAUGCUGGUUAACGGAUUUUCAAAAAAAUUGUAGCUGAUGAUCAAAUUCCAAAUUAGCCUCUAUUAACAUCUACCAUCUUCAAGAAUGUAAUGGGUUAUCCCAUAACAUCAUCUCAUCAUUCCAGUGGUUUCUAUUCGAAGUCUGCUUUCAGUCCUACAGACCAAAGAUUAAUAUCAUGUACUAUGCCUUUGCCAUGCCAGCAUGGUAAUACAUACCAUGAUGUACCUUGUCAACAAUUCACCCCACACAACAUCAAAAAAUGUUUGUCAAAAGUUUUACAACCAACACACUAUCGUUUGAUUCUUUUCUAACUAAACUGCAUUUUGUGUUAUAUUCUUGUACAAAAAUAUUUGGAGCAAAAAAAACAUGACUUUUUUGACUGAUCCAUAGGCAUAGCACUACAUCAUCCAAGAUGUCUAUGUCAAUUAUUGUUUAACCAGCAUAGUUGCAAGCACGGUUUUCAGCGCUCACCCGUACUCAUACUGGCCCACUACUGUACCUAUAUGGUAUGGACUAUGGAGGCUCAAUACUGCACCACUCUGAUAUAUGGUCCAGUUAGUGUGCCAACUCCAGCUGCAUACCAUAUAUCAAUACAGGUGCAUGACAGUACCGAGACUGAAACUAUUUCUACGUUAACAGCAUAUAAGCUCAAAAAUUCAUGGUAACAACUAUAGGUGGCAUGCAACUAUUUGCUCUACAAAUCAUCAGCACUGUAUUGGUGCUGUAGACAUGCUCCUUGUAUUGUGAGAAAAUCCUGUAAACUUUAGUUGUCAUUGGCACCAUACUGGCAUACAUAUUGUAACAUCUAUUGCAUGAGGCUUUUGGAGCUACACCGGUGAAUGCAUAUUACAUAUCAAGUUGGCAUCUGCUCGCAAUAGGUUGUCUAGCAAAAUGACUCAAAAUUUAGGUAUUCAAAUUUGCAUGAACAACCCAUAUUUGGAAUAGGUAUCAGACAUCUCUAACAUAGUUUAAAGAAAUGGUUUUGAGGAGGAUUUAUUAUUAAGAAUCAUUAGCAAUAUUGAAAUCAGUACCUAAGUGAAAACAAUGAAAAUAUAACAGCAGAAGUAUAGAAUAAUUCUCCACAAACAUGUGACCAAUCAUCAAAAUAUCUUGUCUACAUGGAGAUCAUCCAAAGGCAUGUGCAAGAAGACUUCCCUAACAGCCUUAAUGCUCUGUCUCUUGUAGCAGUAGUAGAAUGUGAUACCACCUAUAGUGUAAUCCCUUUUAUUGUCAUGGUUUGAUUUGAAUUUGAAGCAAGAAAAUACAUAUCCUAAAUUGAUCCUAUAAUGAGAAAACCAAAAAGAUAAAGAAAUAUGGGUUUUUCUGAUUCUAAUUCUCUGAUCUCAUAUAGAACAAUGAUUUUGUAUAAUUAAGCAUGUGAUCAAUAGAUAAUGCCUACAUAUCUUCAAACAGUAUUUAAACAAAAACAGAACUGUUUAAGCAACCUCAAAAAAGGCCAUUCAAGAGAUUUUCAUAACAGGGGAAAAUUAGUUUAUGAGCCCAUAUCGUUGCAUAAUAGCCCAACCACGACCAUUGGCAUGCUAAUACAACACAAUACGGUCAAUGUGAAACAGUAAGCACUCCUCUCUUUUGUAAUGUACAGUAUGAUCAACANNNNNNNNNNNNNNNNNNNNNNNAGUCUUUAAUAUUGUUAAUUUGGUGCUUGACUGCACUUGAUUGACAAUUACGGGCAGAUAACUAAAGCAUGGAAUGCCGUACCGGCCCAUACCGGCCGGUACGUACCGGUCCGGUCCUAGGCCGGUACCAGAACCACCAGAAAACCGGUAUUUUCCAGUUUUUUUAGCCGAACCGGCCGGUACGGAGCCCGUACCGGUCGGUACCGGCCUCGUACCGGUCCGGUUCGCACCAGUACGAUUUUUUUUUAGAACCACAGCGCCUCACACUGUGGUUUUUGAAACCACCGCGUACCGGCCGGUACGUACCGGACCGGACCGGUACCGUACCAGUCCGGCCGGCCACCGGUACGCCGACCGGUAUUGGUACGGCAGACCUUGAACUAAAGCGUGCAGCAUAUUGUACCUAUUCCCCAUAAUUUUGGUCUACUAUUAGUGUAUCAUUGACGUUACAUGAAAUAUCAUCUAAAUGAUGUUAUUUCUUCUCUCUCAACUUCCAGCACCAAUACCAUCCCAUUACUAGCAACGAACAAGCACAUAAGUAUUAAUAAAAAUCACAUAGAUAAACAUUUAUUAUAAUCAAAUAUACAAAUAAUCAAUAUUCAUUUAUCUACCAUGCUCCUUCAUUAAGUCUAAUAUAUAUAAUUAUCAGAAAAUAUAAAACACAAAUAUCAACAGCGUAUGUCCAAACAACUCAUCUUUGGACUGAGGAAAGAUCAACAAUGAAAUCUUAACCAUCCUCUUCAAAAUGUGAAUGAUCAUAUGACUAAGAUAAAUAAAAAAGGUGCCUCUUCCCAACAGCAAACUUCCAGGUGCAUUAACUAAGUCUCCUAUGUAUUGGGCCGCAUCUCGAUAUAAGUAUAUAUCACAGGAUUAUCUCAUUUUCCCCUAUCAGUUGUUGAUUUUGGCAAUUUAAGUAUCCAGUACCAUUCCCAACAGUCUUCCAAGCUAUAUGUUUUGCAUAACUACAUUGGCACUCUUGUCAAGGCAACUCAUAAAAUCCUUCCAAGCUACAAAAAUUCCAUUUCCAUAUGAUCUUCGAUACACUUUAUCCUAUGAUUCAGAAGCAAGCUUUGUUGCUAGGCAUGCAACAAGUUAGGGACAGGAUCAUAUUGAGUUUGAUUCAGAUUUGACAAAUGGCUUUGGGUAUAUGAUCUAGACCUGAAUGCAACUUAUUCAUUCGAUGGAUUGGUUUUCAUUUCCAAACAGGUUAAAGCAUUGAGUAAGCUAUAUGUGGCUUGACCCAUUUCCUUGAGAUAGUCAUGGCCGAACAUGAACAGGUUUAGCUAGGUUUGAUCAAGUAUGCCAUACCCAUACUCGCCAAGUUUGUAGUACACAUCUUGGUUUGCAUCAACCAUGAGCCCAAAUUUUGUUUAGGUCCAAAUCAGGGUCAUUACUCACAAGUCAGAUGCAGGUUUGUAAUAACGAAUUAUACACAGUGAUCCACUUCAUGAAGAAAAACAACCAUUUUCUAUCAAUGGACACACAGGAACUCAUUAAAAAUGUAUAGGCAUUUACAAAAUAUUAAAAAAAAUCAUGUCUAACAUCUUGGCAUAAUAGAAUGGUGCUUAAGUUUGUUUUAUAUUUUUGAUGUCUGUGAUGCCUUAACACCCUAGCACCUGGAAAUGGAUUGAGUUUCAAACGAAAGCACAAGAAAUAUGAUUCAACUCUACCAAAUAUGAAAAAGAUCAUUAUGUGUACAACAUACAGUACCUUCUCCCACAUAAAUUGUGGCAUUGCAAUGAAUACAGUCAAGAUCGUACAUCCAGGACGAAUAUAACCCUCCAACUCAACAGGCAUGUUGGCCAACCACUCAAAUAUCUGCAGGUUUUCAACAAAAUUGAAUUUCAUUUCACCUCAAACAUUUCAUUGAAAAGGCACAACUCUUUUAUAUACAAAAGUUUCACUUGAAGACUUCAAAAAAUACUUGGUGGCGUAGUCGUCUAGGAAAUUCUGCAGGAUUCCAGUCAUAAAGCUUGAAUGAAAUACGACCUGUAGGACACUACAAUCAAGUAAUGCAUCAUCAUCUUAGUCCAGGUGGUAUUAUGAAACAGCAUGCAUAUACGUCAUUGAAAUAUAAUGCUAGCCAAAGGAGAAAGAAUUUCAACCAAGCUGCCCAAAGAACCAAGGAAACAAAGAAACUCACAACAGAUGAAUAAGUACUCUUGUUGUCACAAAGUGUAGAGGAAAGGGCAGACUUCGAAAUAUCUAUUCUUUCAUCAGCACGAGCUUCAUCAGAAGCUGCUAAAGAAACUAGACCAGCAUUCUGGUCAUUUUGGAAGCUAGGAAUGGAACAAAUGGGAGAACCAUUCCCAUCUUCAGAUCCCAGAAGUGUUUCUCUGUCCAAACUUCUGUUGCUCACAACAGUCUCAACUGUGUCACAAGCAAUAUUUGACAUAUCUGCACAGAUAACAAAAGCAGAAUACAAGAAGCAGAUAUUAAAGGCCAAGUAAUGCUACAUUGUUGACAGCAAAUACACACACACACACAUAUAGAGAUCAGAAAUGGCAUCUAAAGAGAACAAGUAAAUAAAAGAGUAUUUCUUGCCAGCACAAGUGUAGAAAGUCUAGAAUUGGCACACAGAAGAAUCUAAUCACCAUCAAGCCCAGAUAAAUGAAAUAGAAGCCAUGCUCUAUAAUAAAAUAGUUUUAAGAUGGAUGGGCUCUUACAAGUAUAGCUCCAGGGAAUUUUUCGGAAAUUUUGCAUGAAAACUGCCUUCAGCAUUGGAACAAAUGGCUUCUAUUUUACAAUUUAAACAUAGAAAUGAAUGCAUAAAUUUUCAAUAGUUAUUUGACUUAUUUCUAAAUCUUUAUGGCGAGAGCUCUUACUUAUUUUCUAAUAUGAUAUCAUGGAUAUAGACAAUAGUUGAACAUAAGUACCUCCUUAGUUGAACAUGAGAACAUGCCUUAGCACAACGGUAAAAUUUCUCCAUUGUGACCUGGAUGUUAUGGGUUCGACACACGAAAAAAGCCUCAAUGCACGUGGGGUUAAAGCUGCAUACAUUUGACCCUCCCAAACCCCGCAGUGGCGAGAGCACAUGCGCUUGGAUGCUCUGCCAUUGCCGACCUCUAUGUAUGUAGUUUAGAUUUAAAUUAGGUUUUGUAUUUAGUUAAUUUAAAUUUUUGAAUCUUAUUUUCAGUUAUUUGCUGUUUUAUUGAAUCAUAGGAACCUUAUAUUUAAAUCUUUUUGGAGAUGGUUAGGUUGGGCUAGGAAAGAUUUUAGGUCACCAGGAUUGUGUGUUGAAUUGAUUCUAAUGGCUUUUCACUUUUUUUGGAUACACAGGUUCAGACAACUUUCUUUGUAGAGUUUUGAAAGAUACAAAUUUUGCUAUUUUUAGAAGAUGAAGUAUCUAUUUGCUUCAUUUCUUUAGGAGGAAAGUCUAAGGAAUGUUAUUAAGUUUAACUUGAGCAAUAGAGGCAAGAAAGCACAAGAUUCAUUUUGGUGAUGAGCAAUGAAUAUUGUUACUUCUUUCUUCCUAUUUAUCUGUCUUCUUGUUCUCUAAGGGUGUGUUUGGUGUUGCUUCUGCUUUAGAAAAAGAGGAGAAGCUAAAUGCUAGGUUUUCUAGCUAAAAGCGGUUUUUGACUUCUUUUUAUAGAUGCAUUUUUUAGAUGAUGUUACCAAACAAUAUUUUUUUUGUGAAGAACUUUCUUGAUUUAAAAAUCAUAAUAGUACUUUUUUUUAAGCAAUAUCGAACAUGCCAUGACUCUUCCACUCUCUACUUGGCAUGAAAAGUCCCACAGAUCACAGAAACAAGCACCUUCUAAAGUAUAAAUAUGUUUGAUUACAGAUUUUCUGCACAUAUCUGAAGAAGUUUUCAAUAUCAUAUUCAUUUUCAGAUCUGACAUUUAUUUCAGAUCCCUGCCUAUUGUGGAUCCUAUCGUUUAGAUUGAAUCAACACCAUCUAUGAUGUGUCCCCAGACCAUAGAAUAUGAGGCCACAAAGAUUGAUUACACAAUAGUUAUCAGUUAGACAAUGCUCUUGUAAUUAUUGCCAGCACUAUUGAAAGGAUUUUGAGUAACAAAAGAGCCUUACUGCAAAUAAGCUAGAUCCUUAAAAGAGUUUAUCCANNNNNNNNNNNNNNNNNNNNNNGGUCAGUCUACAUUAAGAUAUGGUGUAAAUGUUAUGUAGCACAGAAGACCAAAGAUUUAAAUUUGUACAAUAGUAUGUCCAGACCCAAGAAGACAAGUUCCGCUCUAACAUAACCUCGCCCUAACAUCUCUAACACAAUCGCCCAGACUAUGGUGGUCAAAUUCAUAAUAUUUUAGCAUGUCAUCAGCCUUCUAAAUAGAGGUCAUGUUCAAUUCCCUAAAGAGUGGUUUCGGGGAUUAUUUUUUCAACACUCAUAUAAUUAAGCUAGCGUGACAGACAUGAUUUGUGGCGCAAUUCAAGCAUGGUUCAAAAUAGGUGCAAGUGUAGUGAAGUUGGCCACAACUCAAGAAAGCACUGUUGGUUCCAAUUUGACGGAUGAGUCAGGCCAUGCGGGUGCUACCCAUAAUGCAGGUGCUGCUGCUACCCGUAAGAAUGGUUAUGGGCCAAGUUACUUGUUCAGUUCAUAAUGAACACAUAAUCCAAGCACUGCUAUCAUUCAUCAAGCAAUGAACUGCUCAAAAUAUAGAACUAACCAGAGCAAAAGAGCCUAAGAAAAAUUAACCAACACAUUGAAAUGAUGGUCUUUAAUCUACUUCUAUUGAAUAGAAACAAUCGCAUGGAUACAUGAAAAAAUGCAACUAAAUUGAGUAUAAAUGUGGAUAUAUUCAAGAUAUAUGCAAGUGUAGUGAGGCUGACCACGGCUCAANNNNNNNNNNNNNNNNNNNNNNNNNNNNNNNNNNNNNNNNNNNNNNNNNNNNNNNNNNNNNNNNNNNNNNNNNNNNNNNNNNNNNNNNNNNNNNNNNNNNNNNNNNNNNNNNNNNNNNNNNNNNNNNNNNNNNNNNNNNNNNNNNNNNNNNNNNNNNNNNNNNNNNNNNNNNNNNNNNNNNNNNNNNNNNNNNNNNNNNNNNNNNNNNNNNNNNNNNNNNNNNNNNNNNNNNNNNNNNNNNNNNNNNNNNNNNNNNNNNNNNNNNNNNNNNNNNNNNNNNNNNNNNNNNNNNNNNNNNNNNNNNNNNNNNNNNNNNNNNNNNNNNNNNNNNNNNNNNNNNNNNNNNNNNNNNNNNNNNNNNNNNNNNNNNNNNNNNNNNNNNNNNNNNNNNNNNNNNNNNNNNNNNNNNNNNNNNNNNNNNNNNNNNNNNNNNNNNNNNNNNNNNNNNNNNNNNNNNNNNNNNNNNNNNNNNNNNNNNNNNNNNNNNNNNNNNNNNNNNNNNNNNNNNNNNNNNNNNNNNNNNNNNNNNNNNNNNNNNNNNNNNNNNNNNNNNNNNNNNNNNNNNNNNNNNNNNNNNNNNNNNNNNNNNNNNNNNNNNNNNNNNNNNNNNNNNUUACAAGCAUAUAUUGAAAGGAUGUCACUAAGAGAAGAUGAUCACUUCCGAGGGUUAUCUCAAAGUUAUAAAACUGUAACCACAUUGAAUACUAACUAAAUGGAAAUUAUCGCUCCAUUGUUGCUAAUUCUAUAAACACUUUAUGAACAUAUGAUAUGAUGUAGGACAUAGCAAACUGAAACACGAUCAAUCACACGUCUGUCCAGUCACUUGAACAAAAUACAGCAAUACUUGUACAUAACGAAGAAAACCUGAAAAACAUAUGACUGGACUUAUUCAGAUAAAUAAUAAUGCAUCAGAUAAAAUGAACGAUUUUUUUCAUCAGUACCAGCCAUAUACAAAAAGGAAAGGGGGAAAAGGCCUUUCCAUCUCAAUAUUGAUGCUAAAACCCAAUUAACACAGCAUCUUGCAUGCCUUGGUAUAUAAUUUUGAUCAGAGUAGCUCACGGCCAUAAGAUAAACAUUGCAACUACUGUCUAACACAAUAGUCAUACCUUUCCCUGGUUUGCCAUUACAAAUAACAUCAGUUGGAGGGUCUCCUUGAGCUUCCAAUUCUUUCUCCACAACAUUUCUUGAAUCACUAGGUUUUCUCCGCCUCCUUUUGUUGUGUCUCUCUAAUUUUCUCCUACAGCUACGUUUACCCUCAUCAAAAUCUGACAGCAAAUGAAACCUGGAAUGCCAGAAGAUAGUAUUGAUCAAAAUCAUGGUAGCACUAAACCACCUCUACCAUUUUUUAAUUCCCAAGGAAUACAAAUUUUAGUACUAUAUAACCCACCAUUCAUAAUAUAGGGACCUGUUCCAAGUACGGAAAAAGGUUCCAUACUUAAUUGAAUUACAUUAAGAUCGAAAAGGCAUGGUAUCUCCAAGGUCCAAGCCAAAGUUUACUUGAUCAUACCAUUCCCAUGGUUAAAGAGCAAUAAAUUAAAGUACUCACACUUCUGAUGUCACAAGAAAACUACGAUUACAAAACAAACACGACACUUUUUUAUAGGAAAUCUAGAUAAGAACGUCACCAAGGAUACUGCUGAAAUAUUUUUGCAAACUUUAAGUGGUAAAUCAAAGAGCAUUUAAGGGCUUCCAUUUUUUGAUUAAUAUAAGAUAAAAAGCAUAUCUUGUCAAGAAAACAGUUACAAUCACCACAGUUCAUUUCUCUAUCUUUAAAAAAUUGACAAUCAUUGUGUCAGCAUCAUCAUUUACUUCUCCAAUUCUUCAGUAAUAACUUCGCCAUGCAUGUAUUCAGGAAUCAAUAAGUUUUCAUAAUAAUGUCCCUUUAAUUAAAAAAAGAGCACAUUUUAGUAAUAAAUAUUUAUUACAAAGUUUUACUACAUUUUAGCCUCCAAUAGUAAAGUAUGCAUUUACUUGUUGCUAAUUAUGAAGCUACGGCAUAAAAUUUGAUUCAACAAGAAUCAUAAUACUACGGGCCAUACAUUAAUUCAUCCAGGAUAAGCAUGCCCAAAUUUCUUCCUUUAACAGUCCACGCAACUAAAAGGAUAAACAAGCUCUUAACUGGCAAUAUCCCUAUCAUUACCAGCUUUUAAUACCGAUAUUGUCAAUGGUUAUGGUGACUAUAACAUAUAAAAACAAAGAGUUGAUAAAAUUCAGGCACAUAAAAUCUUAAAUAUCUGAUAAAAUUCACUUUGAAAGAACUGGUUGGAGUUGAGUUUGGGCUCAACAUUAUGCUUAUAACUUUCCUAUCAUCUAGAAGCAUAAAUGCAGUCAUUUCUUCGUUAUGCCAUUAAAACUAUGGAAAAAACAUAUAUGUGUUGAGGUGCAAUAUACCACAGAGCUUUGUUCUCAGCUCAAACACCAGGGAUAUUAUGAAACGAACAAUUAUAAUUAAUUUCACAAACCCAACCAACAGUUCACUCUACAAAGCUGUAAUUAACUAAGGAAAGGGUACACCAUACUCUACUAUCACAUAACAAAAUAGGGCAAAAGAUGCCCAUUUCCAUGGAAGCCACUGCUUCCUAAACAGCCUAAAGUUAGCUUUUUAUGACACUCCUUUUUAACAACUAUUAUGUCCAGCAUAUAUUUGAUAAAGAAGGGAAUUCAUGCAUGCAUAGCACAUGCUGCUAAGUAGGUUUAUCACUUAAAUACUUUAAAAAUAUGCAGGUUCAUGCGUGUGUGAAACCUAAUUCAACUUUGCAAUUCAUUGUUUGAGAACAGAAAAUUCAAAAUUUUAUUUUUAAUCAAUACAGGAUCAUGAGUCUAUCUCAAUUCACCAUUUCGUACCUUAUAGAGAAGGUUUUUCUGUACCAGUUCCUUGAUUAGAAGCAGAAUAAAAAUUAUGCAACUAAAAAGCAGCAUAAAUUGGCAAAAUUUAAUGUAAACAUCAAAUAUGUCAGUAAAAUUACCCUCCAAUCUUGGAGAGAAGGUAAAGCAUUUAAUAAGUGAUUUGUGCAUGUCACACAACCAAAUUUAUCUCAAAAACCCGUCAGCUAAACAUUGAAUUUGAGGAUGAAGCAUCCAUCAAAGAACAUUAUGCAGAACAUAAUCAGAUAAGUAUCGAGCACUUCCUUCUCCACCAUGUAGUCUUCCUUGUGCUAAAGAUCUGCAUCUUCCAUCAUCAAUCUCCCAUCUCUUCUCCACCAUCCAAUCCCUUCCUAUUCACUGUUUCUCCAUAUGCUGCUCCCAGCCCCCUGGCCAUGACAACAUACCUCCCAAAACAGAUUUCAGAAGACUGAUUUCAUCUGGUGUGAAACACAUGAUCAUCCUCGAGAACAGAAAUUUGAUGGAUUGCACAAUCCCACCAAUCAAGACUGUUUGAGGAUUGAAGUAGAGCUGAUAAGUAUAGAGCUCCUUCAACUCAUUGACUUCUUUCUCAUAAUCAUUCUAGCGCGGAUAUAGAGGUGGACAUUUAUAAUAAAAAGAAUGAGUGUGCAUACGAGAGAGAGAGAGAGAGGAACAAUCUUUUUUGACUCUAAAAGUCCUCAUGAGAUGAAAGUCCCUCUAUUUGCUAAGUUUUAACCCUCCAAAAUUUUUUCCCAAGACAUUUUAAUCCCCUCUAAAUUCUUGCUUUAUAAAGAACUGGGCCUAGAAUAUUGUCCAAUAAAAUCCAGGUCUCUUGCCCAUAAUUUUGGACUUCUACUUAAAUAAGAAAGAUAGUGAGUUAGUGACAGAAUCCAAUCCCAUUCAAAUUCCCCUUAAUUCUAACCAUCCAAACCACAGCCUUCUAAAAUCUUUCUCUUCCUCUCAUCUUAAACACCUCCUAGGCUCGGACAACCUCCAAUCUUUCUCACCUCUAUAGUACUCCCAUAUUUAUAACUAUACCCACUUAUGUUUUAGUUUUUUGCUCCAAGUAAUAAGAGAAGCACACCAAACAAAAAAAAAAGAGUAUUCAUCAAGUUACAUAAAUAAUUGAAGAAAAUCUUAAUUAGAUGUCCAUUUCCUUUCUUACUAUAAUAUAUUCCCAAUAUAUUCCCAAAGAAUAGACUACCUCCAAAACUGUUAUUUCUCAUUAUAAUAUAAAUAAUGGCUGUUACUUGCCCAUUUACAAUAAUAUUGAACUAUUGUGUUAUCCAUUAUUAGCCAUUAUAACAUGAAAUAAUAAACAAUAACAAGAAAUUAACAUGUUGUUUGCUUAAGUCACCAUAUAUCACCAAAUAAAAUUAUUUUUUCAAUUCCCAUUCAGACUUUUCUUGUUCAAGAAAAGUGAACGUCACAUAUCAUCUGUUAUUUUCAUUAUAUUUUCGUUGCUAUAAUGGGAUCACAAUUACAUAAUUGUCAUUAUUUAAAAGCCUAUCUUGUAUCAAGAUAGCAUCGAUUGGAAGGCUUUUAAAAAACCCUUUUAGCAACCUAUUAUCUACUCACAUGACACCUUUUAUUUGACACAUAAGAGCUCACCUAUUAAUCAAGACGGCAAGAUGUCACAUAUUAAAUAAUAACAUAAAAUGAAUGGAUGGCCCCUACAGCAACUUUAGCCUUUCAGUCGAGAUAGUAAGAUGUCACUGGAACGACCACGAACUCUCAGACAAAGGAUAAGCAUUCAAAUGAGUAAGGGACAAGGGGGGAUAAAAAGCUGAGUGAGGCUCUGAAACAAGAGAUAGUCUCCAACUUUGACAAGUCGACAAAGGCAAGAGGAGGAGGCGGAAUGGUAGACAAACCAUGGGGAAGGGAGGAAGGGAGCAAGCAAGAGAGAGAGAGAGAGAGAGAGAGAGCCUAAGGAAUAUAGAAGGGAGGAUGUUUGGAGCAGAACCAAUGGGACAGUGGGGAUGAAGUCUUUGAGAACAAAAGAAUUCUUUAUUUUUUAUUUUUAUUAUUAAACUAAUUUUGUAACAGCUGGCAUGCCUAGAAACUAGAGAACAGUUGGCUUACUCAAAACUUGAAAGGAAAUAAUGGGCAUUUAUCUAGGAUAUAGAUGUGCCAAUCGAAAAUAAGCUAGAAGAAACUAAGAGGCAACUAAAGUAGGGGUGUAUAUAUAUAAAUAGUUAAGAUGUCCUACUUUGAUCCGAACGGGGGUUUUGGAUCACCUCGCUCUUUUAAAAUUAGUAAAUAAUCAUAGAUGACUAUAACUAAAUGGUGUAAUAGAUGAAAGCCUUAGGCCCCAACAACUUACAUCAAGGGGAAAAAAUGGCAUGAUGUCAAUAACACGUUAAAUGACAAAAUUAUCAGUAUAAGAAUCACUGCUACCAAAAAAGGGCAAAUACAAGCAAAAACAACAACAUUAAUGAUAAAAAAAGUUGAUUAGUAAACAUAGUUUGCAAUUUUUGGUCUAUAAGGGCGAAGAAAAGUGGCCAUGCAUCUUAUCCAAUGUUUCUAACCCUAAGCCACUUGGCUUAGGUUACUUUGUCCAAAUUCCAAAACAAAUCUGUUUCAGGAUUUCAAUCAAUACAUGCUUAAUUCUACCAAGUUCAAAUCACGGUGGCAAAUAAUGGCCGGCACAAUGCAUACCUAUCAAUAAAUACUUUAUCAACCCCUUGGCAGUAAAUGGAGCAUUGAUUUGGGAAAAUACCAUCCAACUGCUCAAAGUGAUCGCAGAUCGAAUAUCUCAAGGCGGAUCAAAGUUCAUUCACCCUGAACCAAGCAAAACUAGCCCCAUAUCAAGCGGAAUUGCCUAGCACUACUUGAAAUAACUUAAACAGCCCCUUUUGCAAUCAUUCUCCACCAUCUGAAGAUGGAGAAAAAAAUGAAGGAGAAGGGACAACUACCUAGGGAGAUUAGCCUGCAGCAUCGAAGCUUGCUUUUUUGAUUUUUGGGGCUAAAAAAUUAUUAUAGUCAAAGGCUCAAGGUGCACUAAGGUGGCAAGGACCCCAAAAGCCUAGACACAAGGUAUAAAGCAAGAUGUAGAUAUGCAUAAAUAAUAAUGAAUACAUAAUAUUAAACAUAUUUAACAAUGAAUUACCAGUUUUUUAAAAAUGUGAUGGUUAUUUAUCACCAUUCAAGUUUGAAUCUGAGACCUCUCACUUGGAGAGAUAGGUACCAACUAGCUGAGCUACUACCUAUUGCCACAAUAUCAAUUAAUCAACACAAAUAAAAAUAU